RNAcentral lists this long non-coding RNA (45423 nucleotides) under Fragaria vesca (wild strawberry). RNAcentral's name for it is "long non-coding RNA (FVES_LNC002018)". Lineage: Eukaryota; Viridiplantae; Streptophyta; Magnoliopsida; Rosales; Rosaceae. The record is from RNAcentral.
UGGUGGAACCAUGAAGGCCCCUGGAGGUUCAGGCGCUACAAUAUCCAGGGAGGUUUUCGAGAGCAACCCUAAGGGCUACUUUCAAGGCCUCCGCUCUGGUAGCAAACAGAAUAAGUAGGUCCUGGACGUGCGUACGUACUAUGUAUGUGUAACAUAUAUAUAAAUAAGUACCAGUAUAGGUCUGUAGUAGUACUGGACUACUGGUACCGGUACGUAGUACUGUAGCUUGCUUUUGUUAUAUGGCGUUUGUAUAAUUGUAUGUGUAUAUGUAUGAAAAUGGAAAGAGUACGUACCUCUGGACUGGUACGUGCUCAUGAGCUUGCUACCUUUGUUUUUCAUAAUUAGAUAAUUUGUUACUCUAACUAUUAAAUAUGUUAAUACACUACCUUUUUAUAAAAUUUAUUAAUUUAGGCUUUCAAGAUUAAUUAAUUUAUUUAUUAAAAUUUCAAUAUCGACUAACUUUAAUCUGAGCCAAAUCUUCUUCAUGUAAAAUCUACUUUAUUUAGAAUUUAGUAAUUCAUGUUUGGAUAAAAAAAAUUAACAAAAAUAUAACAAGUUGGCUAAUUUUAAAAGGGUGUUUCUAUUGUCACCCUACAAACCACUUUGUUCACCUCACGUUCUUUUCACACCCCGUUUAUAUAUUUUUAAUUAUAAGUCUAUUUUGUUCACCCAUUUACAGUACCUAAAAUACUCUUUUUCUAUUUUUGCUUUGUUCACCCUAAAUUCUUUUUUCACCUUACAUAUAUUUUUUUCAAUUUCAGAUUUGCUCUUUCACCCAACAUUCGAUCUCUUCUCAACCCGCCUAUAUAUUUUUUAAUUUUAAUUUUAAUUUACUUUAUUCACCGAUUUACAAUAUACACAAUAUCAGUCUAUUCCAAUAGCCAUUGAAUACCAAAAACAAAAUGAAAUUGAAGAAAACCAUAAGAUUAAUAUCAUUUGGCCGGGUAAGUCGAAUCACAAACUUAAUAAUAAAAAUCAUAUUAAAGUAUAAAUCUGAUCAAUUAAAGAACAAGAAAAAACUCUCAAACUUAACAACUCAUUAGUAUCUGUGGAUAUCAAAAUGCACAAUAUCUGUAAACUCUACUUUGAAAAAGCUCUGACGCCGAUGAAAAAAAAAUUCGAAUAUAUAUAAGUGAUCGAUUAGACAUGAAAAUUUACAUACAAAAUUGAUAUGAGAAAUAAUAAAUAAAGGGAUAGACGAAGCAUCAACAAAGAAAAUAUAUAUAUAUAUAUAUAAACAAUUCACCUCAUUUUUAGUUGAAUGCUAGCUAGUGUCUUCUUCACACUUCAUAGAAAGAUCGAAUAUGAUAAAUUCUGGGUAUAAGGUUUCUGAAAUACGUGUUUAUCUAAAAAUAAUAAUUUGUAAUUUGUAACAACUUAUUGUCCCUUGCUAUAAUUUUACAUUAGGGUAUAUUAGUCAUUCAAUAAAUCAACAACGUGUGGGGUGAACAAAUUGGUUUAUGGGGUGGCAAUAGACGCGCCCUUUUAAAAAUAUAAAGUAGUAAAUUAGUAUAACUAAUAGUUAGGGUAGCAAAUUAGCUAAUUAUGAAAAGUUAGGGUAGUAAAUUGACUGAAAUAAAAGUUCGAGUAGCAAAUUGAUAUAUAUUAAGGUGAAAGGUAGAGUAGUAAUUUGGUUAAAACCUCUUUUUUGUUUUUGUCUUUUUUUUCCUUUUUCUUUAUUUGAAACGGUUUUACCAUAAGUUGAAACGAAACCAUAUCAUGUAAUAGGAAAAGUCGAGUUGAGUAAAUCACAACGCUAGCGGCUAUUAACCAAGCGCAGAUUUGCAGACUUUAAAUUCCCUUUACUGGGAAUAUGCAUCAACUUUUACCCUAUCAAUACAUAAGCACCUCCAAUUAAGUACAACAACUACAGUAUCAAUCGGGGUUAGUCGAUCAGCACACUUCACCUUGAUAUAUAUUAGAUGCAAAAUAAUAAUAUGGAAGCUGCAGAGGUUGUUGCACUUGCAUUAGGCGCCAUUGGCGCCGUUGCACUGUUGGUGUGGGGUUUCUCCGGAGAUUCUGAAUCUGCUGCAUCUCAAGUACUUGUUUCAUCGGGGUCGUCUUCGGAGCCAAAGAGAACAAAGUAGGGCUGGGCACUUAGUACCGGAAUCCCAAUCCCGUACCGGUCCCGUCCCGAAAGUUAGCGGGACAGGACGAGAUAGGUUUUGAAAAUAGUAAUCCCGUCCCGUCCCGUCCCGUCCCGUUUUAACAUUACCAUAACGGGACGGGAUGGGACGGGACUAUCCCGAAAAAUCCCGUCUCGUCCCAUAAUAUUAGAAUACUUGAUUUUAUUCAUUUUAUACUUGAUUUUUGGGUUGCAUGGUGUUACAAUGCACUCAACCACACUUAAUUUGGUCUAAAAUAAUACUUUUAAUUUCAUUCAUGUUCUUUUUUUUGCUUGUGUGAUUUUGGAUAUUUUUAGUUGUUGUUUGAGGGUUAAUUUUUAAUGUGGGAUGUUUAGUACUUUUAAAGUGGGAUGUAAUUUAGCACCUAUGCACCUAUGUUCUUGUUGUAUUUUAGUACUUCUAAUUUCAUCAAUGUUUCUUUUUUUUUGUUAUGUGUUUUGGAUUAUUUUUUUNNNNNNNNNNNNNNNNNNNNUGCUUGGAGUUUCUCAACCCGUUUUUCCACCCGUGGUGGUGUUUGAUAAUCAAUUAAUUUGUUCUUGAAAAAAAAAAAAAUUUGUCGGGAUCGGGACGUACGGGACAGAUUUUUAAAAACACCUUCCCGUCCCGUCCCGUCCCGUUCUUUUAUUUUCGGGACGGGACGGGAUUCACCAAAUCCCGGCCCGUCCCGUCCCGUGCCCAGCCCUAGAACAAAGAAGCCACCCAGCAUUCGUGAGCUUGAGGGAAUCGUAAGCGCUUUGGGACGUCGUUGAUGCCAUGGAUGCAUAUCAAUAAGUUAAUAAUGUUCUUAAUUAAUGGUCUAUGUUUUCUGCUAAUGGAACCCCUUAUCUUGGAUCCUACUCGCAUUUUGUCUUGCUUUUCUUCGUUUUAAUAUCUUCUUUUCUCUACUAAGCAGUGGUACAUCCAUCAAUCAUAUACGUACACACAAUGAAAUUAAUUUAUAUAUGCAUUUAUUUAUAUCAUUACAAAUUAUAAGUUUGAUUCCAAGUCAUAAACUUGGAUCACGGAUCAGUCAAAUGGGAUUGGAACCCUAAACCACAAUCCGUACCCCAUCUCACUUUAUUUUUCAUUGUUAACAUAGUUGGUAAAGUUUGUACUUUUAUUUGAUUAGUCAUCACGGGAGCACUUCUGUUGCGGACAGUUGUGGACUCAAUACAGAUUUUCAAACUAGGCUGUUGGAUUGUACGUAUGAAUGGUUUAUAUUUUAAAAAAAAAUACAUGUCUUUAUCAUGUGACUGCAUCACACAACAAAUCUUUCUCACUCCUCUUUCUUUGUUUUCUGGAAUUCUGGGGAAAAUUAACAGAUUUUUCUCUUUCCUUAACAAUAUCCACUUCAAUCCCUCCUUCACUUAUGGGCUGCUAUUACAGUUUUCAGUGGGAUUUCAUUUCUUUCUUUAGUGGGAUUCAAUCCUUACCAAUAUCUACAAGACUAUAAUUGUUGAUAUUAUGCCAAAAACCAAAGCAAGAGGGAGAGCUGAUAUAUCUCGGACACAGGAGAGAGAGAGAGAGAGAUCUAGAGAGAGAGAGAGAGAGGUNNNNNNNNNNNNNNNNNNNNGAGAGAGAGAGAGAGGUGGUAUUGGGUAAGGUUAGUUUUAUUUUGUUUUCUAAAAUAUAGACCAUCCAUGUAAUUUGAUAGUUAAAAUCAAAAGUCCUUAACAAGUCCUCAAAUAAGAAGUCCUCAUUAGAAGGGCUCCUAGUCAUCACACACCGCUCACAGUUUUGAUUUGAUCAUUUCUUAUUUUCCUAUUCUCACUACGCAAUCACUCUGAUCAGUAGCUCUUGACAUCCACCACAUCUAUAACGGUCAUAAUUAAAGGGAGCUUUUAUUCAUAUGCUCAUACCUCUAAAAACUUUACUUGAACCUCCUUGCUUAAUGGACCUCCAAUUUACUUUUACAAAUAAAUAAAAUGUUAUUUACACCUCUCCAAUUUUCUCAAAACGCCCAUAGUUCAAUAAAAUCAAUAAAAAUCUCUUUCUUUUAAAAGAUUCUCUUCAUACCUCCAUGUUUGGUAGUUAGACCUAGCCUCCUUCGAUUUUUAGGCAUCUGACAAUCAUAUUUUGCUUUCAAAAUCCAUCCAAUUGGUUCAAACCUAUUAUUAGCUAUAUCGAGCCGAGCUUGUUUGAUCAGACACAAUAAUAAUUAGCAAAUAAACAACUCUCCAAUAAGUUCCUGAAGCUCAUAAUUGAUAUUACAACAAAUGCGUUCAAACGAAAAUCAAAAAUACAUUGACAAAGAGAGGCUAAGAAACAAAAAAAAUAUGUCUAUAAAUUGCAUCAUCUUUCAAAAUGUCAUGCAUAUUGCAUAAUGUUUCAAGUUUUUCGUAAAAUCUUACUUAAUCAUCGAUUGUGAAUGAUUCUUGAUUUAAAUUUAUCUUUUCAACUUUUAUUGAUGUGGUUGACAAAGUCAAUACUAACUUAAAAAAAAACUCAAGUAGCACUUUUGGAGAUAUAAUUAGAAGCUUCCAUAUUUAAAUUGUCAGCUAGAUAAAACAAAAAAACAACUUCCUAAUUUAUCCCUUUCAUAGAAGACCAGGUCUAGGGUUUUGCAACUUUCCUAUGAUCUUUCUUCUAUAUAUUUUGUAUUCUCGAAGGAUAUUUUUUAUUUGGUUAGAUUUUAUAGAUAAAAUCAUAAACAUUAUCGGGUUAUCAUCCAUUAAUUUUUUUUUUUGACAAAGGACGAGAAAUCAAUUUUAUUGAUCACAACUUAAGAGUAUGAACAACAACAUGAACACGAUCCGCCCGCAGGGGCUACGUGAAAAUUGAAUCAUGCAAAAUUACCUAGUAGACCUACCUAGUAGCUAGACACUACGCAAUCUCUAUGUUGAGACCAUGGGAUGAAGCUCUAUGAUCAAAUAAUAACGUCUUGGCAGCAAAAGAACCUAACCAUCCACCAAGACUCAAGUAGGAAGGGACAAAUCCGCAGCCCAUCAUUAUUGACCACUUCCAGGACCACCCUACGCAGAGGGGGCAACCCCAGAGCAUCAAGUAAUCCUAAUUAAAAGAAAAAGCCCAAAACUAAGGAAUGCUCUAGACCCGCAAGUAGUCCUGGUUUAAGAUAAUUAAAAACAAAAAUAACAAAAACAGAAAUUGAGCCAGCCCAAUAACAGAAUUCAGUCCAAACUUCUAAAAGUAUGGCCCAAGCUCGAACCCUAGGGACAUGAAGAUCAAGGCAUCAACCAACCCAGACCAACCUUGCCGCCACCGUCGCCGGAAAACCAACCAUUGCACUCUCGCUCCUCUUUAGCCGAGACACCGCCAUCACGUUUUCAUUAGACCCUUCACAGAUCAAAGACACCAAGGUCACAAACACACAGCCAUCGUGCCAACAUAGAUCGGCAACCCGAUCCGAGCCAACUCGUGUAUUCGCGGUUGGAGCACUCCAAUUCGCCGUCAGACCAACAAAACCACAACCCGCCAUCACCUUUGACGCCAAACCAACCCACCACCACUCCCACGACUCCGAAGCAGCCUUGCCAACUCAAAAGACCCAACCACCAAUGUCAACCACCUUGAUGUCACUCUCCCUCAUCGUCGAUCUUACCAUACGAGACCAGAACACAAGCUCGAAGGGUUAUCAGAUUCCUUCUGGGGCGACAACGACAUCGGACGCACCGCCGGACGGAGAAGGAAGACUUUUUGAAAACCCUAUCCAUUAAUUUGUUGAAUUUUUUUAUUUUACUGUUGCCCAAGCUAACAACCAUAUAUGGUUAGUGAGUAGGAAAUCAGCAUAGACUUCAUUUGCAUCAUGAGAUGUAUGGAUAUAUAUAUAUAUAUAUAUAUAUAUAUAUAUAUAUAUAUAUAUAUAUAUAUUGCUAUAAAGUGGCAGAGAAUGAGGUUUAGUCCCCACUCCCCAGUGUCCUCCUAAGUCCUAACUAAGGGGGGUCAUGUCCUAUAAGGCUUCAUUGUUUCAUGGAAAGUAAGCAUCAGGAAAUGAAAGUUGUUCAUUUCCAGUGUUUGGGAAAGCACAAGGAAAGGAAACACUUUCUUGAUUCAUGGGAAAAUAUGGGGAAAGUGGUUCCCUCCAAAAUCCUAAUGAACCACUUUCCUUUCUUCUUUCCCAUUUGUUGAUACCUAAAAAAUCAAUAUUUAUGCUCAAUGGAUAUUCUAAGCUCAAUAAAGAAAUACACAUGCAAAUCACAUUCGAAAUACAAAAGUUACAUAUUUAUUCGAAUAUUUAUGCCAUGCAUGUGGAUCUAAGCCACAACUACGCUCUUAUAGCUUACAAGUUUGGGUGUGGUGUGGAAGGUAACGGAAGUACAUGAGGCUUAUUCUCGGUUUUGGUUAUUGGUGAUUUUGGACUUAGGACCGAAAUCCAUGCCCAACAAUCUAAACCGUUUAAUGGACUUGCAAAUAUGAGAUAAUCCAAACCCAUAUGCUUAACCUAAUCACCUACCUUAACCCUAAUGCAAUAAUCUUUCUACCCGAUCAAACAAGCAGUAUUUUCUUUAAACCCCGUAGUAAGUCUAAUCCUCUUCUUCUACACUAAGCACAAGUCCCCAUCAGCCUUUUCUUUUACUCUGUUCUAAGCUCUAGCCUCCACAAGCUAUUCAAAUAGACACAUCUAUCAACACACAACAACAGCUUUCCUUAAAAUAUGUUGCUCCAAUUCCAACUUCACACAUAACAACUUGUGGUCCUACGGUGUUUUGUAUAAUUGAACUCAACAUGAUACAUCUCUUUGAUUGUCCAGCAGACUUGCCUCAUUCACCUGUGUAUUAGCCUCACCCCUUCCAGCCUAUAAAUUAAGGCCUUAAACACAACACAACUCUCACGCAGCAGAACACAUACCUACAACCCAAUGCAUCCCACAAGCAAGCCUCAAGCAUCAUGCCAAACAUCCUUCACUCCAAAAACCAGCUUCACCUUUAAACAGUCUCAAACUCAUCCGCCACCACCAAAACCUUUUUCCCUCCUCACCGUAGCAAGUCUCUCAUCUUCUGUAAUUCAUGUGCUUCUAGCUCCCACGCCACUUGCCAUCUUGCAAGCCUUUUUUAUGUACUUUGUUCAUCUAUCAUGCAAUCAAAAUCACAUCACGUUCAUGCCUCUAGAUCACAAGCAACAUAUCACUGCAGCAGGCUAUCAUCCCCGUAACAAGCCAAUAUUACUGCAGGGGAGAUCUUAGGGAAAACACGCACAAAGCUCUUUGAAGCUUUAGGCCUAGUUCUUGAACUCAGAAGGGGUAGAAAGAGGAAAUCAAGUCAUUCAAGCAAAUCUAGCAACCUCUAUUCAAAAUGACCCCAACACCUGCAUUUAUUACUCAUAACACAAUAUUUUAUUAUAUUAAAUCUCAACUCUUUAACAACUUUCCAAUAGAUUUUCCUGGUGUUACCAAAUAUCGGAAUGGAAAGUUUUUGUAAAAUUUCAUUCUCGUUCCCUUUCUCUUCCUAUAGGAAAGAGGAAUGAACCACUUUCCAUGAACCAAACGAGGCCUAAAUAUAAUACUUAGGUUGGGUUUUAGGUCAUGUGUUAGUACCAUGUGCCUUACACAUUGAACUACUAGGGUACAACAUCUAAAGAAGAUCAUGCACGACCAUAAAUCAAGGACCCCAUGUUGUCGCUUAAAGCAAUAAUGUAACACCCUGACCCGGGUGUUAGAAGAAUAAACGAAUAAAAUAAAAAAAGAAAUCCUAAAUCGAAAAUGAGAUAGGAUCUCAUAAUCAAACAAAGAAAAUGUUUGUUGCGUUUGGAACCUAAAUUUUGUUUUGUUUAUUUGCGGCUGCACCCGAAACUUGAUCAGGCUGCCUACGUACCCUUUUAAAGGGAUCAAGCCACUCGUAGUUCAACAUUUUAAUCUACUUCUCUACCUUCAUUAACAACAUCACAUUUACCACCAUAAGUCCAAAAUUAAAACCCUGCUUACGGACUCCUAAGAACCAUUUCAUGAUACACACCAAUUUAAAAUAUUUUCUUCUAUACCCAUUAAAUCAAAUCAACCCGGCCAUACAAAGCAUCAUGCAUCAACAAAUCUAUACCAAUUUAUUAUCAUUCUAAUAUAAAGUUCCAGGAGAAUAAUUAUACUCAUCAACUUAACCAAACCCCACACUUAACUCGCAAAACAACCUACUCAAGUGCCAAAGAGUGUGUAUAAGUACGCACACAUACUUAUAUACAUAUAAAUAUAUAUACAUAUAAAUAUAUAUAUAUAUAUACCCCAUCAAAAUUUCCGUUAGAAUAAUAUAAAACUCAACUUAUGCAAAUCAUCAACAUUCAUUCUUUCACCUUGAACCCAAGUUUACUAAACAUUCUAACUAGAUUUACUAUGGACACCCAUUAGAUAUACUAUGGACACCCAUUUCAACUAAAACCAAUCCCAAAUCCAUACAUAACACUCCAAUAUCCACUUCAAUGCAUAAGCACAAUCCAACAACUGUCUAACAGUAAUAUUCAUAUACCCGGUUAUCAAUUUUAACCGUUAAUAUCGCUAGUCUUCGGAAAAUCCGAAACCUAACCUACAUUACUCCAAAAAUUGCUAACUUUCCACCAAUGGGCUUCUCUCAUUUUUAACAAUUUAAUAAGCAUGAAAAACUGCCCAAAAAGUGGCAACACCGCCGCCCGCUCCGCCGGCGGCGGCGGCCAAUCUCCGGCCACCCCCAAUCGUCACCAAAAUUUGACAGAACCUUCCUCUCAACAUUUCGAACAACUUUCAUGAACAACACUAAGCUCAAUUCUAGCUCUAAAUAGUUCAUUUAAUCAAGAACAAUAAAACCCGAUUUGGGGCUAAAAACCCUAAAAUUUCGAAAUCUCAAAUUCUCCUCACACACACCAUGAAUCGAGUUACAAGCUUCUAGAGGAAUGUUAUACUAAUCAAACCCAACCUAAUCAUAUAAAGAACUCACCGAUUGGUGGCCUAAGGAGGGAGAAAUCCGGCUAAAACAGCGACGAACAGUCGUACCUUCUCGCCGUGAUUUCUCCCAAAAAGCGGCGAGAGGGACGCUAUCACCACUCUAGAUCGAUAGGUCUCCUCCUUAGCUUCCUGCCGAUACCCGGAUCGCCGCCCAAUUCGGCCUGACGGCGGCGCACGAAGCGGAGAACAGUGGCGGGAGAGAGAGGAUCGCUCGGGAGGAGAGAGAGAGGUGCGGUAAGUUUCUGAUUUUUCUACCUCCCACCUUCGGUAAGUUUCUCUUUUUAUACCCUUUACCAAAACAGUAACCUCCCGUUUUUAGACCAUAACUUUCUCAUACGAACUCCGAUUUGAGCGUGCCACGUGUCCACGAACUCGUAUUAACGUUCUCUACGACUUCCAUAAAGAAAGUUUUCCCAAAUUAUCGACUUAACAAAAAGUAAACUUUUUUGGUCCUUUACGGUAAAACAGUUACAAGAAACAAUAAUUGAAAAUUUACUAUAAACUUCAUAAAUUCACAGAGCAUAGCUCGUCGCUCCGGAAAAUAAUCCGGGCAUACCGGUGAGCUCGUAUAAACGUGUACCACGACUUCGGAGUUUUAAAUCCACUAUUUAUCGUUUUCAGAAAAACUCGAAAACAACUCGAGCAAUCACUAUUUAAAUCUCUGAGCGCUAAUAAAGAAAAAUCUGUGGUAACUCAUAACCCCGAACAGUAACCUUUUUGGUACGGGGUAUUACAAAUAAUAAUAAGAAACUUCUUCCAUGCAGCGCUCCAUUGCCCAAGCAGAUUGUAAUUGUAUCUGUUCCUGUUCCGACGUAGUCGUACUAGAACUUGAGUUGUUGGAGCUUCCAUGUUCUUGUUCUUCUGAGAAUGGGUUAUGAAAGCCGUCACCAAAAUUACUCUCACCAUCUUGAGUGGGGAGCCGCCUCAAAAUCUCUUCCAUCAUUCUGUGCAAAUUCUCAUUGGACCGCUUCAACUCAUCUAUCUCACCACGUUGAUGAACAUCAUCAACAUGAGCUGAACGCCUACGAGUUCCACGCCCUCAUACCAUGAUGGCUAUUAAUAGAACGCACCCUCCAAGAACCGGCUUUGACAGCAGAUUGCCCGCUCUGAUACCACUUGAUGCAGGUGUAUACAGAGAGGAGGAGGGGGGGGGGGGUUUGGAUCCGGGAAUCACUCAACCAGGAAAGAGGGGUUUUUUUUUGGAAUCACUCACCAAAGAAAACAGAGAAUAUACUCUGAAGCAAACUUUCAAUAACAUUAAUCUGCCCAACAAGGCCAAUGUUACAAGAUAUAUAUAUACACACACACAUAGAGGAUGUGAAGCGGACGUCCGCACUCGGUUUAAAGUGCGGACGUCGUCCGUUCUCCGCCGUCUCACGCCAGCGACGACUUCUCUCCUUCCCGGACGACAGCACAGACUUCCAGGACGGCUUCUCUCCUUCCAGGACUGGCCGGCGACAAGUUUUCCGGCCAACCUUGAUCAAUCAUGGUGUUUUCCGUCCAGCGCUUCAGUCCUGGAAUAAGAGAAACCGUCCUAGAAGCCUGUGCUGUCAUCCGAGAAGGAGAGAAGCCGUCGCCGGCGUGAGACGGCGGAGAACAGACGACGUCCGCACUUUAAGCCAGAGUGUGGACGUCCGUUUCACAUCCUCUCUGUAUAUAUAUACAUAUAUAUAUACACAGGCUGGUUCCAAAGUGCACGGCCGUGCUUUUACAAAACUGUGCACGAAUCUUUUUCAGCCGUUCAUUGUUUUAAAUGACAAGCAACGGCUAAGAUGAAAAGUCUCUCUUAAAACCCAAAGUGGGUCAAAUAUAUAGCAUUGCCCGACUGCUCGACUCUUCAGUCUCUCUCUCUCUCUCUCUCUCUCUCAACGAUCUCGUCUCACACUUCUCCAGCCAAAAUCGUGAAAUUCCAAUUCAUGUCUUCUCGAUCUCGCCUCUGGUUUCACGAUUGGUGACAAGCCUAACUUUCUCUUUUCCUUUCUCUCACAGAAAUUGAAGUACUCGAUCAUAUGAUAUAUAUCAAUGAUGGAGCUUUGGCCCUAAAAUUGGAGAUCUGGGGAAGCACGAAAACUCAUCUAGAGUUACUCAAGUAUGGGUUCUCUCUGUUUUGAUAUACUUGAUUUCUAAUUACAAAACAUAGGGUUGUUUUUGUUCUUUUUAUAAAAGAUGUUGUAAUUGGGAAUUUUUUUUCCUUUCAUUUCUACUGGUGAUAGAGAGAAGAAGGAAACGAGGAGGAAGAAAGAAAAGAAAGAAGGGAACAACGGAAGGGAAAGAAAAAGGGGAAGAAAGAAAGGAAGUUGAGUAGGGAGCAGAAAAUUUGGGAAAUCAAAGAAGAUUGGGAGUUUGGCAGAUUCUUUCUUGUUUCAGUUUUAUUGUGGUCUUGAUAGUUUGAGGUGAGUGGCUAUUCUCCUUACAAUUUAUGUGGUUAUGAUUCUCCUUGUUUAGUCUACCUUGCUAAAUUAAGAUCGAUGAUGGUGAGAUUCAAUUGUGAGGGACUCCUUUGUUUUACAACUACACUUGUUUUUGUUAUUUGCUUUAUUGUGGCUCUGUCAAAAGUUAUGAUUCUGUACAUAAUUUGGUUAUGUGUUACUGUUUACUUUUUGAUAGAUGAAUGAGAUGUGGAUUUUGUGUGUUUGUGUUGUGAUCAGGUCAAUACCUAUUACUUGGAGCUAAUUUGAGAGUUUUCUAUCUUCAUCUGAAUUGGUGUUUAUGAUUUCACGUUUUGUUGUGUUUACUUUGAUUGAUAUAUAACAGGGUCUUCUUAGUGUGAGAUUUCAUAUUUAUUUAAGAGUCUCCAAUUGCUUAGCGGAUUAGUAUUUAUGUUCUGGUUUUCUCUUAUUGUUGCAGCUAGCAUUGUUAGCAUAUACAAUCUGGGCACUCUUCUUGUCUCAUAGCUAAAAGGAAAUGAAGCUUGUCUCGACAGUUUAUUACUUUGCAAAUCAAUUUGACGCAGAGACAUAUUCAUAGUUCGAUAACAGAUUGUGGAAAGGAAUGUAAUUUGUAGAUGAAUGUUGUAUUAUUAACCCAUCAGAGAUUACAUGAAUUUUGUCAAUUGUUCCCUAUCUAUUGAAUUCAGUUUCAUCAUCUUUUUGGUGUUUCUUGUUGGUGUUUCAUUACAGAGAAACUGAUUGAAUCCUUCUAGUUUCAGUUAUGCAUAGCAGUAACAUAUGUACCACUGGAGACUUCAAUUGCGUAUACCAAUAACAUAAGUUGGAAUAAUACUGAGAAUGUGGAUCAUGCUCAGGGAUUUAUGUCAAUUUGGUUGGAGUUGGGAAUAAUACUGAGAAUGUGGAUCAUGCUCAGGGAUUUAUGUCAAUUUGGUUGGAGUUGGGUAUAUGAGUUGCACACUUGUUCAAAGGCAUUGUCUAUGCAAUACUUCAUUUAUUUUUGACUUUGUGCAAUACCUAUGAACUUCAAAACUGGCAGCAGUAUAUGCAUACGCCAAAAUGACAGUGCAAUACCUUUGUAUCCACCAAAACUGGCAGCAGUAAAUGACAGCAACUACUGUAAUACACCAACAUUGUUUCUUUAAAGGACAGUAAAAUGACCAGUAGUAUAUGCAUACAGCAAAAUGACAGCAACGCCAAAAUGUUCAUACACCAAAACUGGCAGCAGUAAAUGACAGCAACUACUGUAAUACAUUAACAUUGUUUCUUUAAGGACAAUAAAAUGACCAGCAGUAUAUGCAUACAACAAAAUGAUAGCAACACCAAAAUCACAGCAAAAUGACAUAUACACCAAAAUGACAGCAACACCAAAAUCACCGCAAAAUGACAGCAAUGCCAAAAUGUUCAUACACCAAAAUCACAUAUCAUCAUUGUUUCUCUUUAAUGAGUACAGACCUAUAAAUAAGGCCAACCAAAAUUCAUUGUUUCUGAGAUCUAUUCAAGGCAUACAAAAAUUAUGUGCAUCUGCAGUCACAAAAUGAGAGAUAUUCUGCAAAAUCUGCUACUUUGUACAGAGUGAGGUUCAUUCACAUAGAACAUUGUCAAAUGAUCUCCUUAUACAUUAUUCUACAAAAUAAAACAAGCAAUAGGCUGAUAAGUCAGUUCUUAUCAAGUUAAAUAAAAUGUUGAUUAGUUUUAACAAUAAAACAGCAACCAAUUAAAUAGAAUAGUGUAUUAUCAAGCUUGUAAUGAAUUCACCUGUAAAUGAACAACUAUCCUCAUCAAUGCUACUUGAACUUAAAUCCCAAUCUUUACUAAUAGCAGGUCUACAUAAAUGAGCAAGAAUAUAGAGAUAUGUAUCAAUCAAAAAAUUCUGAAAACAUAAACAGUAAUACCAAACACAAUUUAUUAUAGAUUCUUACUUUCCUAGAAGUGUUGGACAAUUUCUUUUGUCAUGUGACUGACCAUAUAGUCCGCAUCCAUGGCAUUUUUUACCUUGACUAUCCUUUGCCUUAACUUUCCUCUUCUCUCUUCCUUUCUUCAACCUUCUCCCACACCCUUUUUCUCUAACUUGAUCUGGUUCAUUAAAAACAUGCUGAAUAGUAACAGUCUCGGUCUCUAAAACUACUGUGCUCUGUCCACUUUCAUUACCAAUAUUUAGUGAUUUAAAAUUCUCCAAGAAAGCAUCCAACGAAUCCAUUAGGAGUUGGCUAGCCUCAUCACUAACGAUUGCCUUAUCAAUUGCAUCUGUAGCAUGCUGGAACAAUUUAGUCCUCCUUGCAAGUAAAGUUUCGGUAUCUGUUAUCUCUCCUCCAUCAGAAUCUAACACAAGACUCUGCCUUGCUUUCUUAGUCCAUCUCUUCAAGAUGUACUGAAUAGGCAAUUUAUCAACAUCUUGAAUCUUAAUCAAAUAUGACAAAACAUGUCGACAUGGAAGCCCUUCACUCUCCCACUUUCUACAGCUACAUGAUACAAAAUCAGAAUCUUUUUCAUAAGUGAGUUCACGAGACUUGCAAGUAUCAAUGUUCUUUCUCACUGCUUUGCACACACAAGGAGUCUCAUUUUCUCUUAGAAGUUCUAAUUUAUAUUUGAAGCUCUCUUUCAACUGUUCUUGAACUUCAUAAAAUAACUUGUGUGUGUAAACCUUGGCCAUAUGAUCUUCUAUUUCAAGGGACAUGACAGUUUUUGCCUUCUCUUCAAUAUUAAUAUGAUCCUCCUCUAACUCAUAGUGGCGUUGGUGAAGAAGUCCCCUCUUAAACUGAACCAUAAAUUCCACCAAAGAAUUCGACUGAGAAACAUAAUUCUUGAAGAAAGAAUGCUGACUCUUUGCUCUUUGACUACUUGACAUUCCAGCUGAGAAACAAUGAUUAUUUACAUGUGCUAGUAUCCAUGAUGAACGAAUCUCGUAUAUCGACUCCAACCACUUGUUAUCACUCAAUCCACUCUUCUCAACAAUUUCAGUCCAUCUCGAGUCAAACUCAUCUCCACUAUUUGAAUUCCAUAUGCAGCUAUGAAAGUCUUGGUAGUAAUUUCGAUAUUUAACCGCAUCUAGCUUCUCUGAAAAUUUAUUGAGAAUGUGCCAACUGCAAUAUCUAUGAAAUGUCUGUGGAAGUGCUUCUGAAAUGGCUUUAGUCAUAGCAGGAUCUUGGUCGGUAAUGAUCAUUGUGGGGGCAUUUUCCGAGGCAUUUCCAGGCAUAGCAUUUAGAAAUUCUUUGAAUAACCAAACAAAAGAAUCUGCUGUCUCGUCAUUCAAAAAUGCACAAGCAAAUAUGAUAGUCUGUCCAUGAUUAUUAACACCAGUGAAUGGUGCAAAAAUCAUUCCAUACCGAUUUGUGUUGUAUGUAGUAUCAAAAAUAACUACAUCCCCAUAAAAGCUGUAAGCUCGUCUUGAGAUUGAGUCAGCCCAAAAACAUCGUGUUACUUUGUUUUCCUCAUCUGAUUCCAUUCUAAAGACAAAAGAAGAUUCUUUUUCUUUUUCGUUUUGGAAAUGCAUGUACAAUAGAUCUCCAUCAUGCCCCUUCUUCUCUUGACGAAUAUUUCUUCCAUAAUUAUAAAGAUCACAUUGUGUACAACCAAUGUUUUCAAUGCCACCUGCUUGAACACCAAAGAAUUCGAACUGUUUAUGUUUCUUCACAUUUACCAAGCUUAAUUGCUCAGAUAGAACUUUGUUGACUUUUGAAAUACGACGAUGAGACUUCAGUAAAUAUACCCUAGAUGGGCUUGUUAAUGCGUGGUUGUGCCUUCAACAAAUACAGAGAUUGCAUAUCUUCCAGUUUUCUUUCUCACAGCUGCAAUCCUUGCUUUACAACCCACUUUUGGUAAUCCUCACUUACGUUUUUCUCCCUAAACCUUAGAAUCUCCUUCCUUAUAACAGACAUACUGCUUCCUCAUAACAGACAUACUGCUUCCUCAAAUACAAAGAUUGCAUAUCUUCCAGUUUUCUUUCUCACAGCUACAAUCCUUGCUUUACAACCCACUUUUGGUAAUCCUUACUUACGUUUUUCUCCCUAAACCUUGGAAUCUCCUUCCUUAUAACAGACAUACUGUUUUCUCAUAAGUGUAGUAUUAUCCUUGCUCAUUGCACUAGUAUGACUUCUAAUACUAAACUCUGCUUUUUUUGCAUAUCUAUUGUAGAAAGCAACAACGUCAUCCAUUGUUUCAAACUCUUGUUUUAAUUUAGGAACCACCUCAAACUUCACUUGAGGAAUAUAAACUUGAUCAUCAUUUGACUCCAUAUAUGUAACCGAAACUGAAAACCACACAUACACCGAACAUUCUUUUGUCAGUCAGCAAUCCCAAUGAAUUGAAAAGACAAAAUUCAACCAAUGUUAAUCAAUUGAAAAUACUAAAGAAUUUGGUGAAUGUUUUUCAUCGCCACCAGCUAGAUAUAUAUGAGAAUCAAAUCAUAACUUCAACAAAGAAACAAAAAUAGAAAUCUAGAAACAAUAACAAGAAAAGCCCCAAAUAUGAUAAACCCUAAAUUUUGUAAUUGGAAAAUCAAACAUACCAGAAAAGAGAGAACCCAGACCGAUCUAUAUACGUUUAUAUGUUUUCAAAGCUCCACCUUUUGGAGCGAAAACUCCAAGGCUAGCUUUUUGUACCACAAGAUUGCAAUAUAUAAUAGAGAAAGGAAGAAAAAGAAAGCUUUGAUUGCAAGAACUGUGCAACUGAGGAGAGUUUGAUCAUCAAUGGCGAGAAGACAUGAAUCGGAAGACAACGAUUAUGGUUGGAGAAGAGAUCGUUGAGAGAGAGAGAGGGAGACUGAAGAGUCGGGCAGUGUAUUCCUUGCUAUUUGACCCGCUUUGGGUUUUAAGAGAGAAUUUUCAUCUUAGUCGUUGCUUUUCAUUUAAAACAAUAAACGGCUGAAAAAGAUUCGUGCGCAGUUUUGUAAAAGCACGGACGUGCACUUUGGAACCAUCCUCUGUAUAUAUAUAUAGGACUAAUUUCAGUUUACCCCAUCAAUUUUAGGUCGAUCAUUAUGUUAGUUUUUCUUCUUUCACUUUCAUCAAAAACACCCUUUAACUCCCAAUUUUCGUCAGCCGCGUAUGUCCAAAUCUCCAAUCUCUAUCUAAUUCCUCUGUCAAGUGAUGAUUUGAUAUCAAGAAGAAAGUCAAAUUCUAAAAGUUACCUUUCGGACCAUUUUUCCCCCAUAUCGAUACACAUCUUCGUUCCCAUCACAACCCCCUAACCUUAGUGAUUUUAGUAGGAUUGAAUGCAAUUUGUCUAUUUUUUCUUUUUCUUUUUUCUUGAUAUCAAGUCAUCACUUGACAGAGGAAUUGGAUGGAGAUUGGAGGUUUGGACAUGCGCGGCUAAUGAAAAUUGAGAGUUGAGAGGUGUUUUUAAUGAAAUCGAAAGAAGAAUGACUAACAUGAUAAUCAACCUAAGUUAAUGGGGUAAACUGAAAUUAGUUCAUAUAUAUAUAUAUAUAUUGGAAUUCAAAUUUCAAUAGGACUCUCACUAUGACCUGACUUAACAACUUUCUAUACGCAUGACUAGACCAGCAAUUAAAUUACUUUGCACUUCCAAUGGAUAUUAAUUAUAUUGAGAUAGACUCUUAAAUGAUCAUCAACUAGCCACUAGCUUUAUAAAGCACCAGCUUUAUAUAAAGCACUAGCUUCUCCAAAGCUGUAGUUUUGAUCCAACGCUAUUAAGCUACCAUUAAUAUAAAAUGCCACCGUCCGAGUAAAUAUCCUUCACCAGAUCAAUAGCAUUCGCUUUGAAAGAAAAUAGGAAGAAAUGGGAGGUAAUGAAAGCAGGGAAAGCUCUAAACAGGAAGGAGGAGGUGAAAAUGCUGCUGCAUCGUCCGGUGACGUCGACUCUGGGUUGACAAAAGGAGCAGUCGCCGCUGGCGCUAUCGCCGGACUCGCCGCUGUGGCUUUGGGCGUAGCUAAAAUACUUUCGGAUUCGUCAUCAUCAGGAGGGGAGAGAAAAACCAUGAAAGCGCCCGGACAAGAUAACCAGAGGAUUGACAGGGACGAGUUUGAGCGUGACCCUGCUGACUAUUUCAAAAACUUGCGCAAGUCGAAGAAAUAGUACGUAGUAGAUCACUAGCUCAUGCUUCUUCUUUGUUCAUGCAAACCCUAUUCAGCUUCAUGCAUUAUCCUAGCUUAUCUGUGUUCUAGCUUGUACCUGAAAUCUUUAUGCUUUAUCUAUGUUAUUGUGAUUAAUUAGAGUCUAUGAUUGCCUUGUCGUGUUGGAUCUAUUCCUGUUUAUGCAGAGUCCGUAUCUUUCGUUUUAACUUCCAGUCUUCGAUCACUAAGAAUGCAAAAUGAAGAUGUUUCAUAAUCAACAUUCAGUUAGGUAAAAAUAACACGUACAUUCUUUACUGGAUCGGAUGAAGUGACAAUGUAUAAGAAUGGAACCUGACUUGGUUUAGAGUCUUGAGAGUGAAACAAGGUCGAGUGAUCGAUUGCUGACUAAAUCAUCAAGGAGAGUAAAGUGACGGGAAGGCCGGCAUACCUCUUCGUCCUCUACUGCAUGCUGCCGUUCAUUAUCAUCACCAUCAUCAUCGUCUUCAACAAAUCUGAGUCUCUCAAUUCAAAUGGUGCUCAUGAGUUUCACAAAGUUGGAAAAUAUUCAAUUGUCUCGCAGCAAUGGAUCUGGAGAAUACUUAAGAGAAAGAGACGAAAGAGAGAAUGGACGAAUAGAUCUAAAGAACGAGACCAAGAGUGAAAAAAUGAGAGAGACCGUGUUAACUUGAAAACCCAAAAAUCUCACAAUAGUACUAGCCAAGGAGGGUUAGGAGGCUGAGAGCAAAAAACAUGUGUUAAGUGGUACCCUUUAUUUUUGUACUCCCCCUUACCAAACACAGAUCAAACCACUUAAUACCUCUUAUCUAGUACAAUACCCUUUAGUCCCAAAUACCAAACAUACAAUUGGGGUACAACAUCUAAAGAAGAUCAUGCAUGAUCAUAGUCAAGGACCACAUGUUGUCUCAGCAAUAAUAAUAGGCACCGAUGGGCAAUAAUAAUGCAUGUCUUAAACGACGGAAGUUGUAGCGGAGCAACGUAGCAUUUUCUAAAACAUCAACACGUACGUGUUUGGUUGUUAGUGGCUGGUCGUAUAUGUGAGGUGGUACGUUUGCCGUACGUAAGAACUUCUCCGUUGAUAUGUACUCCGACGGUGGUGCUUUAUAUAAAGCACUAGCUUUGAUCCAAAAAAUAAAAAAUUUGAUCCAACGCUUUAUAUAAAGCACUAGCUUUAGAAACCACUAGUUUUAUAUAAAGCACUAGCUUCUCCAAAGCUCUAGUUUUGAUCCAACGCUACCAUUAAUAUAAAGCACCAAAGGUCUACCACCCUCCGAGCACAUAUCUUUCACCAAAUCAAUAGCAUUCGCUUUGAAAGAAAAUAGGAAGAAAUGGGAGCUAGUGAAAGCAGGGAAAGCUCUCGACAGGAAGGAGGUGAAAAUACUGGCGCUAUCGUCGCACUGGCCGCUGCCGCUAUCGCCGGACUCGCCGCUGUGGUUUUGGUCGUAGCCCGACUUCUUUCGGAUUCAUCAGGAGGGGAGAAAAAAACCAUGAAAGCGCCCGGACGAAAUAACCAGAGGAUUAAAAGGGACGACUUUGAGCGUGACCCUGCUUCCUAUUUCAAAAGCUUGCGCAAGUAGAAGGACCAGUAGUAGAUCACUAGUUCAUGCUUCUUCUUUGUUCAUGCAAACCCUAUUCAGCUUCAUGCAUCCUAGCUUAUCUGUGUUCUUGUACCAGUAAUCUUUAUGCUUUAUCUAUGUUAUUGUGAUUAAUUAGAGUCUAUGAUUGCCUUGUCGUACUGGAUUUAUACCUGUUAUUUAUGCAGAGUCCGUAUAUUUCGUUUUAACUUCAGUCUUCGAUCACUAAGAAUGCAAAAUGAAGAUGUUUCAUAAUCAACAUUCAAUUGGGUAAAAAUAACACGUACAUUCUUUACUGGAUUGGAUGAAGUGACAAUGUAUAAGAAUGGCCUUCCAUAUUGAAGAGAGAACUCGAGUCCAUCACAAUUGACGAUAUCCCUGCUUCCAUGACAACGUUCUUGAUAGCAAAUACAGUUUGCUAGUGACCUAGUGUGUUCCAUCCGCAUCGAAAUCGGUGAAUCAGACAUCGCUCAAUUCAGAUGUUUCAUCCAAAAUGUCAUGCUUCCAUCUCUAUGGUUAUGAUCAUGGGAUGUGGUCCGGUGUAAAAAUUGUGACAUGAUUGUACAGCUUGAUCGUGAAGUCCACAAAAUGUGAAUAAUUUAUAGAGUUUUAUUGAUGCAUCUCAGAUUCUCAGUACAAGGAAUACAUGUAUUAAUAAAUUAAAAUCCUGACAAAAAUUGGCUUCAUCUGCUUCUCUUUCUCUGGCCAAGACCAUAUCCUUAACUAUUGAAUAGAUAUCCGUAUGAGUGAGACUGAGCUCAAAACGCAACAAUAAAGAUCAGAUUACUGGUAUUGCGUUUGUAUGAACCUUGAUUCCUUGAAUGAGAACCACAGGUGAUGCGCAAACAACAUAACAAGAGUUGAGCUGAUCAUCUUCUUCUCCUCCCCUUGCCUUUUCCUAAUUGCCCAGAUUUCAUAGCAUGUUCUUGCUCUUGAAGGAAAAGUCUUGCUUUUCCAUAUUUCUCAGCUCUCUCUUGUUCCAUCAAAGCCUUAUCCCUCGACUUCACCUCCUGCAAGAAAUAAUUAUCUUUACGCAGUUCACGGACAGCACCUUUAGCUUCUUGUGUCAAACGCUUCUUCAACUUCUUUCUCUCAACCCGUUCACGGUCUGGAUCGUAGUCUCUGCCCUUGACAAAGCUGCAGGGAACAACAUACCAUCCAAUGGUUAGCCUAGCCAUUCAGAUACAUAUAGUAAGACACUAGAGGGAACAGGGAUUAAAAUAAAUUACUUCUCCUCAAAUUUUGGAUUGAGCAUUUUGAUAGCCACUGGCUUUUGCUUCCGCAUCUGAAGUGGUUGCCGCCGCAAGCAGUGUUUAUCUGCUUUUGUCUUGAUCAGUUGAGCAACCUCUUUAAAUUUAUCAGUUAAUGCACUUGGCAUAUUUUCUUGUUCCGACAAUUCAAGAACCAAUGUUGAAAUCGGCAAAAAGAUUUCGGGGAAAGAACUGAAUCCUUCGUAGAUAUUGACAUAUCCACGUAGAGUUUCAAUUACAGUCACCAGCACACUAGACCUGAAAAUUGUAAAUUUGACAUAAAGAUAUAACAAACAAACUUAAAAAGUAUAACAGACAACAAAUGGCAUAUGAAAAUUCAAAGUAAUAAUAACGAAACCAAUUUAUAUGCAAAAAUUUACAGAAUUGCCACAACUCUAAAACGUAAUCAUUAGAUGGUGGCAUCGGUCAAUGUGAUGUGAUUUGAGGGUUCAUUUCAUAAGCACCGAAUCUCAGCCUAACGCAUCAUAUGGGCACAUAUUAUCAUAACAUAUUAUCAAGUACUGACAAACUCCAAACCUGAAAUUGUUGGAGGUGAAAAAUGACGAGUCUUCUGGCAGGUCCAUAAUUGUGAGAAAAUUAAGUGGAUCGAUCUGAUUUAUACAUUCAUGUAUAAGUAAAAGGGGUCUGGGUGCUUUUAGUUCCAUAAGAUGAUCAAUCUGCCACAAUAUAAAGAGAGUACGGUUAAUUCAUCAAGCAACCAUAAACUAGACUACCUCAGUAUUCUCUACUAAAAAGACUAUGUUGAGGCGUGUUCUUACCUCAGAAUCUUGAGUAGGCUUUGGUUUUCUCUCUUUGGCCGCCAUUAACAAUGUUUGAAGAAAUGUGACUGCUUCGGGACAGAACUUCCGAGAUUGUUUAGUGAUCUGCAUUGCAAUACAACUAAUUAAGCCUGUAAAAUAAAUACAGCAGAGGCAAAGAAACACAGGCAUGGAACAGUUCAAAACGAUUGAAAGUUACAGGUUAAGGUUAAUUUAUUAUAUUCACAUAGGAGUCACAGGCACUCAAUCAACUUGUCUCACGUGUUUAAAUAUUAGGAUUACGAACAUGAAAGAAAGACAAAGGAGACGCCUCACACAAACUAAUGUAAAUUCAGCCUCCACUUGAAGAGCGCAUCAAAGAUAGAAAUUUUUUAUUGUGAAUAUACUUACAGAGAGAAGCAGAGAGCAUAAGAACAAGCCGACUGCAACAUCACGACCAGAUAAGAUGGGACAACGCGUCAGAUAUUCACACAUUAAAAAUAUUGCUGGAGUCAUGACCACAUGACGAAAGUCUGAACAUGGAAAUAUCAGGGACCAAAGCCUCAGGAGAAACAAUGUCUUUGAAGCAGGCCAACAACUACUUUCUUCUUAAACGAAACAAGAGAGCAUGAAUUAGCAUAGUUUAGCACAACCAAUAACUUCACAGAAAGUAAAACUAUACCAUUCCAUUGUGGAUUACCUGGGUUCUUCACAGUCUCACAAAAUUUUGUUCUGGUGCGUAGUAUUCUCUCACGAGCACAGAUUGAAGCAAAAUACGGAGUCUCCAUGCUCAUCUCCAUCAACGGCUUAACCAGCAAAUUCAGUAAUUCCAAAUUUAGCGGUUUUUUAUUUGCCAAGGUGGCAAAAUAUUGCAAAAGUAAACCAUAAAACACCUGGAAAAUGAAAUAAAUGAGAAUGAGUGCCAAGAUGCAAUCUUUCGACCAAAUUAAAGGAGAGAUGCAAUCACAACAGAUGGAGUAUACCUUAAGUUACUUCACUUCUCCAUACAAAUGUUAAAUUCAAGUCAAGGUAUCUAAGUGGAAAGCGAUAAUGAAUAACACAUGUUUCACACAAAAUACAGUCAAACAUUCAUUGACACAAAAUAGAUGUGGCAAAAGUAACAUACUUGCAUUUUCUUCUUAUUUUCAGCUGCAAGCUUGAUUGCAUUGCUUGCCCGGAUUCGAUGGAUUAUCAAGGCAAUGUCAGCAUUAGAAAGAUUAUCCAAUAAUGCAUCCAACUCUUCCAUGCUUUUCGGAGCUUCAAUUAGGUAUGGGAGGUCUGACUGAGUUAAAGAUUGUUUAUUGGCUGGCAAUUUUUUGGCAUCUAAAGAUUUACCAUCACUCUUACUAGCUUGAACAGCAUCAUUUCUUUUCAACUUUUUCAGAUGUCUUUGCUCCACCUCUUUUUGAUCAGCAUCAUCAUCACCAUUUUCAUGUUCGUCAGAGUCUUCUUCUUCAUCAUCCAAGUCUAAGUCAAGAUUAUCAUCAUCACUUUGUUCCCACUCCUUAUUCAAUAGAUCUCUUUCCCCUUCACUAUCAUCUUCAUCAGAACCCUCAACACCAUCAUCUUCAGGACUUUCUGAACCCUCAGAAGAAUCAGAAUCAUCUCCUUCACUCUCAGAAUCACCAGCAUCUCUUCGUUCGAGAAUCUCAUCAACCCAACCCUUUUUAUUCCUUGGUUCUUCCUCGAGCGAGAAAGAAUCACCAAGAUCAUCUCCAGAUAUAGCUCUCAGCCUCAGGGUAGAUGGUUUCUCAGCAUCUUCAUUGUCUUCAUCACUAUAGUCAUCAGUGGGAUGCAUCCUUUUCUGCCUCUCUUCCUGAAUUGUGAAACUUGUCAGCAAUUAAGUUUACAACUUGAUAAUAAAAAGUACAAGCGAGACAAACAUUCAGCUAAUAAAUUAUCAACUUUAAUGACAUGGAAAUCCCAAGUUAAGUAUAGAUAAAUAAACAAAAACAUCUAUCCUGAAAUGACAUGUCACUAUGUACCAUAUUGGAAUCGAGUAAAUGAUAAAUGAACCAAAUUGAAACCCAAGAUGGCAACCUUUUAGAGCUUAAACAUAUAGCUUAUCCAGGGGCAUAAACCCAUAUAGCUUAUUAGAACAGUGAAGACAGUUCUUGGUGCACCAAUUUAUGCAUACUGCACUUGCCAACAACAAUCUACAAUUUACCAAUACAUGUUCUAAUACUAUAAGGAAGUUCAAUAAUAUCCACUAAUACAUAGCUGCAAGACAAAGGGAAUUUCAUGUUUGGUGGGUUAAGCUACUGUAGUCUAAUAAUAACAAGCAUCUAUAAAGAUAAGGCUGUUGGAUCUGCAGAUGAAACUUGCAUUCAAGCAAGCAUAUAAAUGAAUGAGAUACCUCCAAUUGUUCUAGUUGCUCCCUCUCUUCUUGUGCUAUCUCUUCAGGCGUCUUGGUCCUACUCGAGGGUUGAGCACGCCUUUCCAUUGCCAAUUCUCUUUCAAGUUUAUCAUAAGCGUCAGAUUUCUCCUGCCAAAGCCAGGAAACUAAUUUACUUACCCAAGUCUCAAAGUUAUGCAAGUUUAACAUGUUUAGUACAGCUGUACAGAACAAUAAAACUUUAUAAAAAUAAAAAUAAAAAUAAAAAAUCUAUUGAAAAUAUCAUACCUGCUCAGAAGUUCCAAAGAUCUGAGUAGCAGAAACCUCAUGCUUAAUGCUUUUGUCUAUAAGAGCUUUCGAGGCAAUUACAGAGGUAAACUUUUUGUCCAAUUCUUCCAUCAAAUCUUUGUUUUCAUCCUUCUCCUUCGACUUUUCAAACUGGGAAUAGAUGAGAAGAAUAAGGAAGGAAUCCAUAACUAAAUUAAAGACUUAGGAAAUUGAUGUAGCCACCACCACAAGCCAUUUCAAUGACAUAAACAAGUAAGAAUCCAAACCUUAUAAUUUUUGGACUUCAAUAUCAUCUCAGCAUAUCUUUCCUUGUCACUUUUAUGCCUCUGGUACAAAAACAACGAAACAAGCAUUGGCAUUUUUAUCGCUCUAAUGUUUCUACCGAUAAAUCUAUAAUCUACUGAAGAAAACAACUUUGCUGACAUAUUAACCUAAAAUAAUCUAGUAUUUCAAUAUAAUGCACCACAAACGAGAUAGCAUAAAAUUUCUCACAUUUUCAUUUCCGUCACUUAAAUCCCCGUCCUUAUCAUCAGAAUUAAAUUGAUAUCUUUCUGCAGAGAAGAAAAACGAGUAACGUUACUCCCAUUAACAUAGAUCAAAAGAACCAAUAACUAAAUCAUAAGCAGUUUCAGUAGCCAACUAGACAUGGAAAAUGAUCAUCAUACACAAAAUCACCAUAAAAAUGCUUACUUUUAGCAGUUUCUCCACCAUCAUCAUCUUCGUCAUCUUCCUGCGGCAUAUCAUCCUCAAAAUCAUCCCUCUGAGACAAUGCACCAAGACUCUGAAACUCAAACUCGUCGUCUUCGCCAUCUGACAAGUUAUACUUGCUCUUCUUGCUUUGCUUCAGCUAUCAAAAAAAACCAGUAAUGCCAACAAAUUCAGUCACAUUGGAGAUUAUCACUAACAUACACAUAGAUCAAAAUCAAAAUUCAAACUCACUUGACGCUCACGCUGGGUACGCCGAAUGGCCUUAUCAAACUCAUCAAGCUCAUCAUUUCCCUCUCCGAUUCGCUUAUCCACAAACACCGAAGAUUUACCGCUCUUCUCAUACUCCUUCAGCAAUGUCUUCUUCCUCUGUUUCACCAAAACCACAUUAAUUACCCAAAAAAAAAAAAAAAAAACAACCUAAAAUUUCAGAGCUUGAAUGAAACUUAGGGAUGAAUAAGUGUUGACCUUUUCGAUGGCCUGAGAGCGAGCAAGGCCGACACGGCGCUCUUCGCCUUUGCGCUUUUUGCCGAGGACGUCGAAUUUCCGCCGGGACCAAAUGGUCUCGAAGGGGUUGGGCUUCGGCGGCUGGACCUUCAUAGCCGCCGCUUUCGGUCCUAGUUUACUUUUCUUCUUCUUCUUCGUCUCCUUCGCGGUGCUGUUGUCGUCGGAGCGACUGAGCUUUGGCAAUUUGCCGGCGAAGGGGUUUGGUUUGGGGGACUGGUGCUUCAUGGAUGCGGCGCGUGGGCCGGACUUCAGCUUCGCCAUGGCUGAGAGAAGGUGGUGGUGGCCGUUGGUAGGGUUUAUGGAUGAAGAAGGAAAGGGGUAAGGGUUUUGCAGUGAGAUUUCUGAUUUUGGGAGUUGGGUCGGGUCGAUUCCGGUUUGGUUCGACUCGUUUUGGGCCCAAAGCUCCAACGGUAUUCGGCGUAUCCCACCUCAGUAUCAAGUACGUACUAUACUGUAUUCUAAAGUCUUAUCUUCCAAGAUACUUAUUGAUCGCCUAAAUGACAAGAUUAGACCUGUAAAUAGACCGGAUCUUGAUCCGGACCCGCUCUGGAUCCGUGGUUUUUAAACUGGUUUGGAUCGAAAAUUAGACCCGUUGAUCCGUUAAGGACUCGGAUCUGUUAACCCGUUUAUUAAACGGAUCGGAUACGGAUCGAGGUUGAUCCGAUCCGUUAAGGACCCGGAUCUGUUUUAAAAUAAUUAAAUAAUAUUUUUAUAAAUAUAAUAUUAUUAAAAAAUAUUAAAUAAUAUAAUAAUUAUUUGAAUAACCUAAACGUCUAAAGUAUAAUCAUUUGAUGAAGUUGAAGGUUACUGAUACCUAUGUUCUUUUUAUACACUUUGCUAAAUACAUUGGAGGUUUAGUAUUUUGAAUAUAUUAGUUUAUUGUUAAGGAGUAUUUUGGUCAUGUAAUUCAACUUUUGAUGUAAACUUUUAUUUUGUUAUAAUAUUUCAUUAGUGUUUUAUGAAAAUUUAUAAUAAAAUUAAGAAAUUAUUAUUUACAAAUUAAAAAUAUUUAUAAUUAUAAACGGAUCGGAUUAACGGGUCGGGUAUUCGUUAACCCGCCGGAUCCGGAUUUGGAUCUAGCUAUCAAAGAUCCGGCGGGUAACGGGUCGGAUCCGGAUCCAAAAUUUCUAUUACGGAUCCGGAUCCGGAUCUAGGUAGAUCCGCUCCAGAUCCGGUCCAUUUACAAGUAUAGACAAGAUCCGUUGUCCAAGAUACAUUGAAACUUUUGCUAGCCCACUCAGUUCCAUUCAGAAGGGAAUUGCUUACCUGAUGAUUAAGUGAAUAUGGGCAAUUAGUACAAUUCUCUACCGUUGUAGAUUGUCAUGUCUUAUCGUUUGAUAACGUUUCAAAUCGAUUAUUGUAAAAGUUUCAGUUUUUAAAUUUUUUGUUGUAAUCUUAAGCGGUCUUACCUGAUGAUUUAGUGAAUAUGGGUAAUUGAUACAAUGAUCUACUGUUGAGCAUCUCCAGCAGUAGAGUUAAAUUUAUUGCUAAAUUUGUCAACAUUUAGAUUUAAAAUAACAAUUUUUAAACUUUUGCUCCAGCAGUGUUGCUAAAUUAUAUACAUUAGCUAAGUUUUAGUUAAUUAUCUCCCCAAGAUUGAUAAAUUGAUCAAUUUUCUCCAUCAAUUUCUAAAUUUAUCAACUUCUUAAGCAUACUGCUGGAGCAAAUAUUCAUUUAAAAAUUGAUAAAUCUCUAAUUUUUUUUAAUUUAUCAAUACUGCUGGAGAUGUUCUAUCGUUUGCUAGUGUUCAAGUUAGUUGUUGUAGAAAUUUUAGAUUUUAAGUUUUUUGUUGUAAUCUUAAGCAGUCUUCCUAUUGUAAAACCAAACAAUUUAGAUUAUCAAAAUGGACUUGCAAAAGUCAGUAUUCAUGUAUUACUUAGUCACUUGAGCACUCGAGUCAUGACAAAAUAUUAUUUUUGACUAUCCAGCCUCAAUUAAAACUAUGAUUGUGGAGUUUGCAACUAAGUUUUUCAUGAUUAAAGAUUCUGACUGGACACAUUGUGAGCAAUUGGCAAACAAUAACAGAAGUGCUAUGAGUAUGAAUUAUAAGUCAUCACUAGUUAGCUAGAUUACCAUGGUUAGUGAGUGGAAAUCAGCAUAGACUUCAUUUGCAUCAUGACUCAUGAGAUGUAGAGAUGUAUAGAUUGCUAUAAAGUGGCAGAGAAUGAGGUUUAGUCCCCACUCCCCAGUGUCCUCCUAAUUCCUAACUAAGGGGGGUCAUGUCCCAGAAAUAUAUACUUAGGUUGGGUUUUAGGUCAUGUGUUAGCACCAUCUGCCUUUACACAUCGAACUACUACGGUACAGCAUCUAAAGAAAAUCAUGCAUGACCAUAAUCAAGGACCCCAUGUUGUCUCUUAAAGCAAUAAUAAUAGGCACCAAUGGGCAAUGGCAGCCUGAGUAAAGACAUGACACAUGAGUAACACUUAUCCAUUCACACAUUAUUAUUCACUAUUCAAUAUGCCUUUAUACAAAACCAAUUACACUAUCAUAUAAAUCUUGCUCAUAAGUCUAUGUCUGCCUGAUUAGUGCUGGUUUUACUAGGCCAAGAGCCAGAAAUCUUUCUGGCGCUUUGUAGUGAUCAAGUACCCUCCAACCUUCUUGCUUUUCCUCCUCACUGCAAUCGCCAUGCAACUGGCAUUCUGUAUACAGUACUCCACCACCCCGCCCCCGCCACCGACACGGUUGCUCCCCGCCCACAUCAUCAGCAGCCGCCACGUCGUAGACCUCUUCUUCUGUCCCAGAACCAGCAGUGACACCCCUUGCUUUUUGGCCUCUUCCACUAUUGUUGGCCCUUUCUCCUUUUUCCCUAAUUCCACCACUGCAACCUCAGUUUGUACCUAUCACCAACACUGAUCAUCAUCACGAAUUUACAUUAUAAAAGCAAUGACAUAAAGUUAUUACUGUCUUUUCUAUAAUGCCAUGUAAAUAAUCAUCAUUAAUCACCUUAUAAGAAGUAUCUCAUCAUUAUAUAUACACAAGACUAAACUGGAAAUUAUCAUAAAGACAAGCGAGUUUCAUAUGCCUAUUAAGGCACCCAACAUUAUACAUGUCAAUGAUGUCCUUCAACCACCCCCUUUAACAAAGUAGUAUUCUAAAUGAAAGAAGCAGUAUGCUUCAACCUCUGUUAUACUCUGCACACAAAGAUAGAUACGUACAUAUUGCUUACCCAGAACAAAUGUACUAAAUUUGCUACAGGAAAGAAGAAUUCUAGUUAAUUUUGGUUCAGUUGGUAGAUAGUAAGAUUAUUCCAGGGAAAAAACUGUUGUGCAGGGAAGAAAAACGUAAGUUAAAACUUGUACAUAUUGCAAUCGAUGAGCUCAAUACACACACCUCAGGUCUCUUCAGCUGGCACAUAUUCCUCAGAGAAUGAACAAGUUCAUAAGCCCUUGGAGCUAUAAUAUCCUCACCUGUAAUUGUAACGAAUGAUCAAAUUCGAAAACCACUUCUCUAAGCUGAAAGAUAAUCAUCAGAAGAAACUUAAAACUAAAAAGUUCUCAAACCUUGUUUUGAAGUUGAAGGUUUGGUUACAUGUAGCAGUACAAGCUUGUCCUGGUUCUGAACAGUGUGAGAAAGAGCCCAUUGCAGAGCUCCCUUGGCUUCAAUGCUCGAAUCAACCACAAUCAUGAUCUUCCUCGCAAAAACCACCCCGGAUUUUUUAGCCCCAUCUCCAUCUGUAACUUUCUCUUCUCCAGCAUUGCCACAAUUCUCAACUUUCCCACCAUUUUUAGUGAUCUCUGCAGCAUCUAGUUUCGACUGUAUCGGUGGAGAACGAACUCGAACAUGAGGCCUAAUCCUGUUGAGGCAGAAACUUGGCAACUUUGUGCCUAUCCUCCCCAUUUGUCCUCAGAUAGAAAUGAGACUACCUUGAUUGAGACUGAAACUAAGGACCAGAAAUUGUUAUAAAGAGGAGGGUUGAAGAAGGUCUGCAAUUUAUUCUAGAGAAGCUUAUAUGGGCCAUGCAUGUUUAUAUUUUGCUUUGCUCUUCUUCUUUUUUUUCCUUUUUAUCGAGGAGUAAUCAUGUUAGCUAGGGUCUUUGUUUCCUUUGUAUUUCUUCUUUUCUGCGCGGGAUGGGGCUAUGAACGUGGUUGUCAUGAAGCUGUAGGGCCAUUUCAGGACCAGCAGUAUUCACUUCAGAUAGUAAUCUGGCAUGUUACUGCAAUCAGUUUUCUUAAUAUUUCUUCCACGAACUUGUUCCUCGCAAAUUAGUUUUUAUGUUGUAGUGAGCAGAAACAAUCAUAUGCUUUUAUGUUGUAGAGAUCGAUCUCUAGUAAGAUGAGAAAUUGGUGAACAUCUAAGAUCGAUCUAACCGUAUUGAGAUUCGUAUUAAUUUUUCAGGACAUUAUUUGGAACAUUCUGCAUAGAUCGAUCUCAACUGAACACAACAUAUUAUCGCUUGCAAACUAUCACAACGUUUAAAUUUCAGCUCCAGGGCCCUUUACUCCUUCUAUUUGAGAUUAUGUUAGUACAUAAUUGUUAGGUUUUCGAAUCAGUAAUCCCAAAUGUGCUGGCAUCCUCUUGGGGCAAUUAUUAGUGCUGUAUGAUUGAAAUUUGGAUUAUGUAAUUUGGAACUUUGCAAAGGCUCGAUAUUAUCACUUGUUAAUUUUAUGCAUUUUAUAAAGAAGUAGCUUCGCUCAAACGCAACCAAAGUUAUCAUUUUACCAGUAAUCAACUCGAAUGAAAUCUAAUUAAUCAUGCUUGUUUACCACCUAAAAAUAUGUAAAUCAUUGACCAUAAAGCUCAACUGCAAUUUUGAUACGUACAAGUAAUUGGGUUUGCUUGUAUAGCGCACCGGCUUCUCACUCACUGUUGCAUCUGCUUCUCAAAUCAAAACCGAGACAACACGACAUAUAUAUAAGUUUGAUGCUUCUAAACAAUUUUGUUUGUUCAUUAAUUUGCACCAAAAAAGGGACGUGCCAAUAAACUCCAUUUUGACUUCCAAUCUCCAAAAGCAAAGCCAAUUUGAGAAAGAUGGAGGAUUUGCAUGUCUUAUGAUAACAAACCGCCCAACCAUGAUGCUCAUGUGAGUCAUGUCCUUCCAAUUCAAGACAAUUAUAUGCGAAAAAGUUGCCACUGCUAAAACCUAUAAGCAUAUCUCCUCAAAGUUGCCAACCAUGUUUAUACUUGAUAUGAUAUGUGGUGUAUGAACCAAUCCACAUAAACAUACAAUUUCUUAACUCAUCUCAUACUUGAUCUUACAAUGUCAAUGAGAUUUGAUCUUAUAACCUUUACGGUAUUAGUGAUCUUGCUAACCAACAAGCCACUACUUAUAGACAAUCAUAGAUCUGGUUGAACAAUCCUUAACUAUUAUGAGUAUUAUCGUCAAUAUUUAUUAUUAUUAUUAUUUUUUUAUUUUUUUGUAUAAAAGACUCUUGGAAGGUGGCUUGCAAAUGGGCCUGUUUAUUAACAUGCUCCGAGCAGGCUAUGUGAAUGAGCGCAAAGGCCCAUAUUAGAUAACAAUUCAUAUCCUACUUCUUACCCAAUUAGGAAAAGGACAAUAGUUAGUCUAAAGAGGAAAUCUAUAAAUACUUCUUGUUGCUGUUUCUCUGUUCCAUAGUUCUGCAGUGGUUGUUUGUUUGGGAUUUUGGUUCUUGGUGAAUUGAUCGAUCCACGUUCUGAAGUAAGUGAUGGGUUCUGUUUGUUGUUGUGGUCCUAAGAACGAUCCCAAAGAUGAUGAAGAAACUGUGCCUGUGUCAACAAGACCACAUAUAAUGGGGGAAGUCGUCGGAGAACUUGGUUACGUCUACGCUUCGUCGGAAGAGGAUGAAGAUGAAGGAAACGGCCGGAGAAACGAAUUACAGCAAUGGUGGAGCUGGAAUUACUGUAACGGAAAGCCGAACGCCCUGGACGAGAAUCUUCUGGCUAAUUAAGUACCAGAUUAGUUAACCUAAACGUUUGUAAACCAAGUUUAGUAAUUAAUCGUCUGAUAUAGGGUUUACUUACAACAUAGUGGUUCAAUAUCUGUGCGAUUUUUGCAACAACAGAAAAAAAAACCCAUUAUCUCCGGACCUGAAUAGUUUGGUCCGACGAAAUUAGAUCUUCUACUUUUCUUUCACAACUUUGAUGAUUACAUCAGUGAGAUUCUAGUUACGUAUCCUUUCCUUUUGCUAAAAGGAUUAUGUUCGAGUAUGGAAGUAGAGCUCGAGAUAAGAUUUCCACAGUUAAAAAGUAAAAACAGAAGAAACAUCAAGUAAAAAUGUUUUGGAGAAUCCACGAUAUCUUUUAGACCUUUAAUUCCGGAUUUCGGCGUAAAUCCUUACGCAACUCAAGUAAGGAUUCCCAAAACGAUACGAUUUUCGAAUUCAAUUGAUUCUAUGUUCAACCCUUUGUUAUAUCUCUCUUCUCUUCUAUUUUCUUUAAUUUAUUAAUUAAUAAAUAAGCGCCUUCAUUAGCUUCUAUCUCUUAAUUCACUCCUACUCGAUCUUUCUGCUUCUUCCGUUUUCUUUCCCAUCGUUUAAUAUUUCUGGGAUUCUUGGUAGUCAAGAGGAGGCCAUCGCAAUCUGCUCUGGUUUCAAAGUAUGUUUCUUAAAUCUCUAGCUCCACCUAUGUAUUGUGAUUUCAAUUCUUUUCGGAGUCUGGAAGAUUGGAACUCUGGGAUGUAUAUUAGCUUUAAUUUUUGUCUUGAGACUUUUCUUGUUCUAACAGUCAUCAUGCGUAUGAUUAUAUGAUGGUUUAUGUGAGAUUUUGAUCAUUGAUUAAAAUAGAAUGGUUUCCCCCUCUCCCCCUCUCUCUAUCUAUUUUUUCUUCUCCUGUGACGUAACUUUUUUUUUUGGACGAUUCGUGCCGAUUCGUGCAGGGUGUGACUGAAAGUUCAAAUAGAAGCUAGUUGAGGCGAUUUUCUUGAUGGGUUGUUUUUUCUCUUGCUUUGAUGUGAACGAUCCUUUGGAUAACACGCAGAAUGCUAACAAUGCCAAUGAUGGUAACCGGAUCAUCAUCCCUAAUUUGUACAACAAGGUACAUGUUUCAGAAUUUCCAUCACUUUUCAUUCCAUAUAGUCGACUAUAUAUGAGUGUGUGAUAACCCUAACAAGUUUGAUGUUAAGCAGAUUGCGUCCGUUAACGAGGUAGCUCUUGGAAGUAUACAAUGUGAGACUGGCAGGGAUGCUGCCACUGCUACUGCUAUUAUCCGAUCCCUUCCUGGUGAUCCCUUUCUUAUUGAAAAGGAGAUUGGAGGACAACGUUACCUUUACCCUUCGUCGAUAGAAGAGGAAGAAUGCCCUACAUGUCUUGAAGGUGAGUAUUGCUCUUAAAAUCUGUUUAUAGCGAUACAUUUUCACUUUGAUUUGGUUUUCUAGCUAAUUAGAUACGCUGAAUGUAUGCUGAGGCUCCUUGAUUCAAAAUUUCUGCAGAAUAUACACCUGACAAUCCAAAGAUAAAAACAAAGUGUUGUCACCAUUUCCACCUUGCUUGUAUAUAUGAAUGGUUGGAGAGAAAGCAAACUUGUCCAGUUUGCAGCCAGGUAACCAAUUUCUCUAGCUAGCUUAAUACUGUUUAUAACAUGAUAUUUAUAGAACUUCCUUCAAAUUGAUUAAUAUAUGAAUUCUUACACGGCUCAACGCAAAGGCGAAAAUUUAAUCAUGAAAUUGUGGUCUUAUCACAUACUAAAUAGAGAUUUGAAAAGGAUACCAGAGAAGAACAUACAUGGAGAUUUGAAAUUAAUGUACAAAUAGAAUACUGGUGCUGUGAAAACUAGAAAACUAGAACUAUGUAAGGCACACUUCCGGUGAAAGUAUUAGCCAAUGUACUGGGAGAUAAUAGUUGUGGUGUGUUUGUAAUAAAAUAGCUACAAGAGUACUACUUAAUUCGUCCUGAACCUGACCAACUGCAAAUUCUUUUUGUAGGUGAUGUCAUUCAAUGAUCUCUGAGAACACACAACUGCAACAGCUAGCUAGCGAAGUAGAAACAUUCCUAUAUAAACGCAGAAGAGGAUAUUGGUCAAGCAAUCAAAUUAAAUUUCAAGGAUUGAGAGAAGCCUUUUAAAUGAUCUGUAAUGUAUUGUUCCAAUUCUUCAAGAGUGAAGCUGUAAAUGCAAUAAUUCUGGGCUUAAAUUUAUAUUUCAGUGGGAAUCAUACACCAAUUCCAUAUAUAAAUGAUGGCAAUCCCAUUCAAAUUCCACAUCUCGUUAGCGAUUUUGUUUUUCUAGUCUUUCUUUCAUGAUAGUAACUUGGUAACUUGUGUGCAUACUUAUCUUAGAUUUCUUUCCUACUUACCCUUUGACAUUAUUUGCUAAAUUAGACAACUCUAGGUAUACACCUUAUAUAUUAGAAAAGCCCAGACCUCAAUCAGUUUGCUUAAAUAAACAGGAAGACUCUGUCUCACAAAUCUACAAGUACUUUGUUAAAACAAUUUUCUUAAAAUUACUGCACAAUAUACGUAGAAAUUUAUAGGAAAUUUCCAUCAAGUUCACUAAUUAAGAUACAGUGAAUUUUUUUCAAGCCGCAUAAAGUUUGGCAAUAUAUAAUAUUUUGAUAACAUCAAGAGAGCUAGAGAUCGAAGUAGAGAAUUGUAGCAAAACCCAAUAAUCUUCAGUAUAUAUACUGAUCGAUCACAUUGGAUGUCUUAAAUCCACCGCUCACCAAUCAAGCUUACAUUAUACCACAAUAUCUGGUGAAGCACUACUAUAUAGAGCGAGUAUAUAACCUUAACCUUAUGCUACUAGUGCACUUAGGGAUUAAUAUUACUUGGUGAUGAUAUUCAUGAAGCAAAGCAUCCAAGGUGGCAUGAAUACAACGAUGGCUCGAGAGUAAGGUCGAGCUGGUUCCUCCUCACCUGAAGGAACUGAUCAUUUUGCUGAGUGCCCCUGCAUAUAUCAUAAGUUCAUAACCAUAUACCGUAUUAUACUAAGGCCCAAGUAUUUUAUAAUUUAAGUAUGAAGUAUGGUACGUAAUAGGAUCUUACCCCAUGUUCAAACAUGGAAUUGGACCCUGUGCUAGCAGGUUAAGGCCAUGGUUUUGCUGCUGCUGCUCCCAGUCAUGAACCUCCUGAGCUUCCGCUACAUUCUUCUCGUGCUCCUUAAUCUAUAUUAAUAAUGUUGAUUAAUUUAUGAAAGCAGAACCUAAUGAGAAGAAGAGCCGUGCAUUAUCACAUAAAUUAGAAAAGACAUUGCUAGCAUAUAUGAAAAUGACCUUCUUUGAAAGCAAGUUGUUCUGCUCCUUGAUUGCCUUCUCCUGUUACAGUGAGGAACAAAAAGAAAGAAUUUAUGAUGAUCAGAUUUUGAGACUGCAAGUAAAUGGAUACACACAUACAUGUGUACACCUUACAAAUCAAGUAUAAUUGCAUGUCCUCGCCUUUCACAGACCAAUGAACCAAAACUCUACUAUAAUUGACUUGUACGAAUCAAAAUUCUUAACUAGUUACCAAGAAUCUCACACAAAGUGACCAAAAAAAAAAAAGAAUCUCACACAAAGUGACAAAACAAACAAUUGCUUAUUAUAAAGUUUAGUAUGUUAAUAAAUAGUUAGUGUGCAAAAUGGCCAUGGCCGAACCUUCCUCUGUAGCUCAGAGAUCGACUCAUGCAUGAGUUGGUUCUGCAAGAAAUCAAAAUAUAUAUAUUAGCACUAGAUCAAACUAGCUGCAGACUAUCACUAAUCAACCCAGCUAGCAUACUUUUUAUCAAAAAAAAAAACCAGCUAGCAUACUUUUCUUGAUCGAAUUUGCUUAAGAGCAGUUUCAAGCUGUUGCUCCAAACUUUGGAUCUCUUUGAUACUCAAUGAAUCCAGAUCUUCUCCCAAAUAGUGCCUGCAGUUUGAUUGGUUUAAGCAAAGAAUCAAGAUGAAUCAAUCAAUUCAGGACAGAAUCAUUCUGGGGCAAGUUAUUACGAGAGUAGUGAAGCAGCCAUCUAUAUAUACCUUAGGUUUCUCUGCAGAAGCUCAACUUUCACCUUCAGCCUAGCAUGUUCGAAGGGCCAGUUACCCUGCAUUAAGUACCAAGUGACCUAAUUGAUCAGUAUAUAUAUAUAAUAUAUGAAGAACCACAGUCAAGUGACGGGAAAAUGGAAAGUACCUGUGAAUCAAAAUCAGGUUCCACUAGCUGUCUCUCUGCAUAUGAGUACCUCUCAUAGCGUUCAAGUAUAUCCUCCAUGCUGCACAGCCAAAACGGAGCUUGACCAAUAUAUCUAACAUGAUGCACUUAACUUAUAUAUGCAACCAAGAGAGCUAAAUCUUCAAGGGUCUAUCUGUACUUAACCGUAUUAAGGAUAGGAGGAGUUUCUCAAGAGUUUCAUGAAAGCAUACAUCAGAUUGUUGUAUGAAUUAAACCAUUAAAGGCUUUAUGCUAAGGCAUUUUACAAUUUUUACUAAUUCCAUCAAACAAAAAAUUACAUCUUACUGGCCCCCAUUAGGAUAUUACUGAUAGUUUAAUCACAUACUAUUUCUAUAUAUAUAUAUAUAUAUAUAUAUGCACAGUUUCUUGAGAGAUAUUUGAGCUUUACUUGUUUGAAACUAAAUAAUUAACUAAAUAAUGCAAACAAUGAGACUUCUUGUGUCUUUACUACUUGUUUGAGAAAACAUUGCAUGAUGCCCUAGCUACAAAAUUACAUGUUUCGAGUUGGACUAACAAUGGAAGAAAUUAAGUACUGAAAGAGCUGGUAUAUAUACUAGCGUUGCAUACUUUUUAUUCUUUAGAUUUUGCUUAUUUAAACUCAGAAAAACGUUACAAAAAUAUUACAGAUAUCAGUAAAUUACAGAGCUUUAGAUUUGUACACCAAAAAGUCCAGGAAUUCAGAUUGCAUCAUUUUUUUUUAACUUUUGACUGUGUUGUCCUCUCUUCUUUUAAAGACAUGUGUGAUAAUGGAAUAUUCCAUCCAGGUUUUCUACACCUCUUCCGCACUUCUUCAUUAAUCCUUCAUAAUAUUUUCUGUGUUGCUAGAAAAAAAAUUCAGUUUCUUUUUCUUAAUUUGCAUAUUAUAAAAUCAGAACAGUUUGAAAUCAGCUCUGGAAUCAAGUCAUCAACUCCAGAGUUAAGUUUAUAAAGAUGUAAAUUAGUAGAUUUUUCACAGGAUGCUGCACAUCAACCCAAACCCAGGUCAUCUAUGCUUAAGUAUCCCCAAAAGCAGAUGAAGUACUGAUAAAUCUCACAUAAAGAUUUUUCAUCUAGGUCAUUAAGCUCUACUUUAUAUCAAAUCAAGCACUCUUAACCAUUAGAUCGAUCCCAGCUAGCUUGCAUCCACUUGAUUAAUUAGCUGCUUUAAUAAGAACUUGGUCUUAAUGUUUUCUUUGUUGAACAAUAAGAAGUUCUUAUUAUUAAGCACCAAAAUAUUUGCAUAAUAUUAAUAUUAAUCUCUAAGCUUGGAUUUAAAAAGACAGAUAAGAAAAAUAUAACAAAGGAGCAGAAGGAGGAGAAGAUGAAGAAGAAGAAGGAGGAGGAGGAGGAGGAGAAGAAGAAGAAGAAGAAGAAGAAGAUCGAGGGUGGCUAGCUAGGUUAUGAGAGAGAUGAGUAGUACCAUGAAUCAGUUGCGUAUUCAAAGAGCUUCCCUUUGUUAGAGAAGACAAUCAAAGCAACCUGAGCAUCGCACAUGACAGAGAUCUCAUGCGCCUUCUUCAGCAACCCAGUUCUUCGUUUCGAAAACGUCACCUGCCUGUUGAUCUUGUUCUCUAUCCUCUUCAGCUGAACCCUACCCCUUCCCAUAUUGAUGAUAAAUAUUUCUACCUGAAUCAAUGACUACUUUCCUUUUCUAUUUCGAUCUUUCAGAUAAACACCCAAACAAGGUAAAGCCCCCAAAAAAAGAAAGACAACCUGAAACUAGAGAGGAAAAUUUAAUGGGUUGUUUCUUCUUCUAGCUUAGCCAUAUCUGAGAGGUUUGUCUGAGGAAAAAAAGUAAUGUGCAUAGUGUAUAUAUGGAAAAGGAAAAUAGGGGAAUUUAGGAUUUUAUUUAUUUAUUGGAAGCUUAAAAGCGGUUUUAAGAGGGUAGGGGUGGUUUUUGUGGAAAAUAAAAAAACCGGUGUGGCUUUAAGGAUGCGCUGUCCACUCCCCAUCGGAUAGUAGUACUAUGUGGUCGCUUCCCUGCGAAAUUGACAACUCGCACAUCAGUUCUGUGUAUGUUAUUGCUUUGGUUAACUAAGUACAGUAAAAGUAAUUAUUACAGCAAGGCCAUAUUUGGGACUUGGAAGGAUUUAAGUACUGAUCUAUCUGAUUAGUUAAUUUGUUGUUCAUCUUAUACUAUUGCAUUUGCAUGUUAGGAGAUGGGUCAUUUGUACUACGGGUGCAUGUCUGUUUUUGGUGAUGUUGAUUUAUCUGUUAAGAUAUUUAUUUUUCAUUAACCGACAAACUUUUACAUUAAACUAUCGUGUUCGACUUUAAAAAAAAUAAAUAUAAAAUAAAAAAAAUAAAAAAAUUAUAGUGUUCAAUACCACCGAAUGAAUUAACAUUUUACUAAGAAAUUAAAAUUUACACUCGUUUUACAAUUCACACUUGUGAUUUCUGUUGUAGUAAGUUUAAUUUUAUCUUUAGUAACAUGUGUACGUUUUAUCUAUUUAUAAAAGUCUUAACCAAUAAAAAGAAAGAAAAAUGUAUGUAGACCGGAAAAUUAAGUGUGCGGAUUUCAGUUUCCUGGCAAAAUAUUUGUAUAUUGUGCUUAUUAUUGUUUUUGUUAUGUGAUCCGGGUUUUUUCCUUUUUUUUAUCAAGUAAAUAACUUAAAUAUUACAACUUCGUGAGUCGAACUCAUAAUCUCUUACAUACUAAGGGGAGACUAUACCGUUAAACCAAAUAAUAUUGGACGAGGUUUUUUCCCCUUGUGUUGAAGGAAAUAAUCAUUUUCAUUUUUCAAUAUAUUCAUUGAAUAACUCCUAAGAAAAGUCAUGUGGAAGUAUUGAAUUGCCUUCCAAGCAGGUGUGGGGGUCUGUGGGAUAUAUGCAAUUUUAGUGAUUCAUGUCCCUAGUCCAUGUAUGGUAACCCUAUAAAUUAAACAGUAAACAUCGUAUAUGUCCGACCUACCGACAAUAUAUAAGGGAUUGGCCUACGUCUUGAACCCUCCAACCCAAAUUUAGAAAUCCAGCUACUUAAUUCACAAAACCUUAUCUCUUUAAUUAGGAAUUCUUGUCCCCAAGGUUAUGUAGCCACUCAAAUAUAACCAAGAACAUGCAUGAUGUGCGUCAAUAAUGUCUCAUAGUACAGGAGUUGGAUACCUUAUUUGUAUAUGAAUUGAAUUCUUUCCUAUGAUUUGGUUAUGUAUAUAUGAGAAUUAGUUUAUUUCUUUUUCGAAAUCUGAAAAGAUGAUGUCUUUGUUAUCUUGGCAUAAAUUGACAUUUCUCAGUGAAAAGAAGGAGGAGAUCGAGUAUCAUAUUGGGUAUUCAAUUGAACACCACCACCACUAUAGUUCACUAUCGACCAUAUUAGACAGCUCAAAGACUUCAAAGCAUCCAUGCAUUAUGAUUUAUGAGACAAAUCCGCAACGAGUCUAGGUUGAGACUGCUACAUUGUUCGAGUGAUCACGAUUGUAGCUGUGAUUAAAUCCAGAUAGAACACAAAUACAAACGGAGAUCGAGUAGUUUGAUCAUUCUUGAUUAUGAAACCGCAUAAUUAAGAUUUAUAGUUACCCUAUCGAUCUGCAGUGUUUAGUUGUUGCAUUGUAAACGCUCAAAGAAACCUUGAGCUGAUUGAGCAGUAGAUGGGUGGCCAUUUGGUAUACUUGGCUGAUUUGCUUUUAUUGAACCUCGUUGAAGACCUUCAUUACUCUCUUCCAACUGUGACCAACAUGAAGCAGAUUCAGAAUUAAAAUACAUUAAUAAAUCUACAUUCAAGUACAAGGUUCUGGCCAUAUAGAUAUAAAUAUAUACCUUCAUUCUCAAUUCAUCGUUUGCUUCCAGCAGCAGCUUUUCCUGCAGAUGAAAUUCUUGAAAGACUUACAUAGGUAACAUAACAGUCACACCUAGAUUCAUAUAUCGACCAAUGAUAACGUACAUAUUAAAGUAAUGUUAGGUGAAUUACUAAUUUCGAUCCCACCUAAAUUCUACCUUAUGUGACAAACAUCAAUGAAUGAAAUACUUUGAUAUGGUGAAUUGGUGAUUACAUUUUCUGCCACAUAUACAUGAAAUCGAGUUUUAUUAAUAUGGUUCAUCUAGUAUUAUGCAAAAGGUUAAGAUCAAUAUAUAUACCUUCUUUUGAAGAUCGGAAAGCUGUUCAAGUAUAUUUUGGCUCUGCAAUCAAAUAAGGGUAAUUAACUUGGAUAAAGUAUUUAUGUAGCUAGAUAUAGUGUCUUAGAAUGAUAUAUGGUUUCCAAGUAGCCAAACCAAAAACUUCGUUUUUGACGAUAACAACCACAAGGGCAGAAGAUAUACAAUCAACCUGGUUAACAAUUGAAACUCCAAACUCCCCAAUCGGUGGAAGAAUUCAGAUAUAUUCCACAAAAGUAAAUAAAUCAAUAUAAGCUACAGAUAUGAAAUUACCCCCGGUCACUUAGAAACUGAUGAAAUCCUUAAACAAUACGAUGCAAAGCUUAAAUGGCUUCACAAAAAUAACUGUUAUAUGCAACUAGAUUAGCCAUCCACAACUACUAUAUCCCGUAGUUAGGAAACAAAAGUGGAUACCUGUCUUGACCUAACUCGCUUCAACGACAAAUCUAGUUCAUUCUCAAGCUGCUGAAGCUCCUCUAUGUCUAAAUGUUCCAAAUUUUCCCCAUCAAGACGUCUAAGAACACGAAGUGAAAAUCCACAUAUAAGUAUUCAUUCCCAGUGAUUUUUCAUGUGAUCUAUCACUUAGGUACAUAUCAAUAAGGUGCAUAAUUAUGUGAAGAGUGUUCUAGUUUCAAAUUCUGUUGACAGAAUGCAUGUAUACAUGAGUCCUGGCUACAUCUAGAGUUCAAAUCUAUGAUCACUUUGGUAUCUUAAUCGAACUACCUCUGCGUGCGUUGUAGGACCUCUACUUUCGCUUUUAGGUUCUCAUAUUCUUCGUAUCUGCUCUGCUAGAUAACAUGAAAGCAGUUCUAUCAACAAUCAACAAGAGCAUAAAUAGGACUUGGUGUGUGGAGGAAAAUUUCAUUACCAACAUACAGCUAACAGAGAUAGCUAGAGAGGUUUUGUAUUUGUUAAGUAAGAAGAAGAUUUGGAAAAUAGGCAAGUGCUAAUUCGUAUAACCUAGCUAGCUAAUUAACCUGUGUAUCCUGAGCAGGUUGAGCAGCUUCCAGUUCUGCAUAAGUGUAUCUUUGAUAUUUCUCAAUUGUCUUCUCCAUGCUGAUAAUGAAAUUGGACAGAAAAUUAAACCACCAACAAUUGCAAUUAGAAUGAGGGCAUGCAGGAAAGUAAAUUAAUUAAGGAACAAACGGGUUGUUCAAAUUAGGUUAAUAAUCCGUAAAGUUGACAUCCUUGUGCUUUGUUGUAAACCACCAACAAAUGCCCUCAUUCAAAUAAUUAAAUAUGAUUAUAGUCAUAGUGAUCUAACAAAGAAAUAAUGUUGGCAUUCUCUCAUUGUUCACUUACAAAUGAUGGAUACUAGUAAAUAAAUCAUGGGAGGUCAAUUUAAUUUACACAUAAUUAGUUCGUGUAUAACAAAUUAAAAGCUACUAAUUUUGAUCAAGUUCUAAAUUCAAAUCCAAAAUUAACUAGAUUUGCAACAAGGAUUACUCGAUCUACACCCAAUUAAGUUAAACCACACUAGUUACCCCAUAUAUCAAAGAGGAUGUACAGUAAAUCAUUUGUAACAUAUGAUUUGAACGCUUGCAAGUGCCAUGCCAGUAUACAAAAAAGUACCUGAAUAGCCUGACAACCCUCACAAGUCACAAGUCACAACAGAAGUACUAUAGCUAACUGUAUAUAGAUACUUGUUUUUGCAGUAAGUUAGCAAGCUAGGAGUCAAAAACUUGCAUAUAUAUAAUUAUAUAUGAUGAGUUUAUUUAUUUUACUAAUUAUAUUUCUAGUUUUCUACAUGGGUGUGUAGUAUAUAUGUAUCUACCACUGGACUGAUCUCACAUCAGGUCAAAAGAAAAGAGAGAUUAACGUAGCUCCUUCAGAAGAAAUGAUCAUAAUUAAGCUUAAUGUAUAGGGUGACCAAAUCGAUCAAAAUCCAUUUCCCUAAACAAAUGUGCUGAAUUUCUUCUUGGGUACAGCAACUGAGCAAAGGAAAUUGAAACUCCUCACCUAUGACUCAUAGUAGGCUCAUACAUAUAUUUCUCAUGUAAAAUGAAAAAUGAAAAACCCAUCUCCAAAAUCAAAAGCAAACGAUCGAUUUCCCUAUUACAAUAAUAGACCACCCUUAAUCCUGAAGAGCUAGCAAGAUUAAUAUUAAUCCUCAGAUGUAAGUAUGUACUUAUAUAGAUUAAACUAUUAGGGGGGAGGACAGCAGAUCGAUGUGAAGCUGUAAAUACUGGUACCUGGGGCCGCUGCAGAACUCAUAGAGCUUGCCACGGCUGGAGAAGAUGAUGAGAGCAACCUCUGCAUCACAGAGAAUGGAGAGCUCACACGCCUUCUUCAGCAACCCGUUCCUUCUCUUGGCAAAUGUUACUUGCCGAUUUAUCUUGUUCUCGAUCCUCUUCAGCUCCACCUUCCCUCUUCCCAUUUCGACGAUGAUCAACAGCUACUGCUUUAGCUAGCUUCUAAUAUUUUAUUAUCUAUAAUAUACUAUUUGACAUGGUACUAGGUUUUAGUUUUCGCUUAAUAUAUUCUUCUUCUCUGAGGGUUAAGAUAAUAAAGAGCAGAAUAAGACGUUAGAAUUAUACGUACGUACGGUCUUCACCGGAAAAUCUACGGUCUUAUGCUGGGCACGUUAUCAACAAUUUACAAUAUCUGACGAUUCUAAACUCUGAAAGCGUAUUAUACAGGUCCAUCAUACAGCUCCCGGCCAGUUUUCUCUUCCGGUUCAAUACUGACGAAGAUUGGUCACUUUUGUCUCUCCUUUUCAGUCUCUUUAUUAAAACGAGAAUCAUUAUUGUCUGCAGCUGCUUAUUACUACAAAUAUGACAGCUAGCGGUGUCAACUCCGACUGCACAUUCCCAGCUUUAGGGUUUUUACGUGUCGAUCAGACAUAGCAUUGGGGAAGCUCGGGACCUUGGUGCAUGUACUUUUGUGUAUCCAGACGAUUUUGCCCCUGCGUUUACAGUUCAAGCACGCCUGCAGACUGCAGUUCAACAAUUGUUCCCCUUACAAAAGAGAGUAGAAGCAUAUAUGCUUUUCCAAUCUUUUAGUUGGUUGUGUUUCUUUUGGUGGGUACGUGUUGAGUCUUGGCGAGAAUGAGGAGGAUAAUAUCCUGGACGAAAUUGGUGAAUAAAUCUCGUUGCUCCGGUGAGUAAACGUACGAUUUUACCUUAGGUAAACCAUGUAGGACAAAUCAAUGUUGUUGUAUAGUAGUGCAGUGAAAAACAAUGGGAUAGACCAUCAAUGUGGUACUAAUUUAAUUACUUGUCCUCGAUCGACGAUGUGGGUUUCAUCCUAAAAACCUCCAUGUAAGAAACAGGGUAUCUGUUUAUAGUCCUAUAUUGCAACUAAUGGGAUCUCCAAUUAUCAAAUGGAAACUGAGACGGAGUUUACGUACCCUGCUGCUUCUGGAAAAGUAGGCAAUGAUCAUUCACAUCCCAACUUCGUAGUAGUACACACUAGUAUGUAUACCUCUACGCAUAUACGUAUAAGUAUGGCAGUGUGUACGGACUUGUUAGGGUCGGGUAUUUGACCGCCGGUAAUACGCUUGUGAUGUGAUUGGUUGAUAGGUAAAGAAGCUUGCGUGUUGACGAGUCAAGACGCGAUUGAGGAGGAUACGCUGGCUACGUGUCGAUUGCUAACCGCUUCGAACAGUGGCUCGUUAUGAUUGGGCCUAGGCCCAAAACAAAAGCCCGAAAAUUGAAAGGUUUUCGUUCUUCUUGCCCUACUUCCUCUCAUGCAUAAUUGACGCAUGAUAUGGAGUUAUGGUCUUAUGGACGAUUCGAUCUUUUUUCUUUCAUUUUGGGAGCAAAUUUUAUGAGCCAUGUUAACCUCAAUGAUGAGAUUGAUCAGGUUAGUGUUCUUGUGUUUUUUUUUUUUUUUUAAUGUUUCUGGUUGGGCGUUUUCACCUAGUUAGAAUGUGCAACAAAGCCGCUCCAUCAUAAUGUGUAGUGGCGGAGCUACUUGAAGACCGAAGGGAGACAAUUCAAUUUACUCGCAUGUUUAGUCGAUAAUUGACGGAUGUGAUGUGCUAAUUUUAACAUCAAAAGGAUGAGGUUUUGAAAAUUAUUGCAAUGUCUAUAUAUGAAGAAGAUGUGUUAUCGUUUUCACGGAAACACAUGAGGACCCAAAACAAGGAGGAGACCAGAGUUGUGUUCUCUUUUGGAACAUCUUUUGGAACAACACUGGAGCGAGCAAUGACUUCCAUGCAGCUUGAAAAAACAGGAAUGCGAUAUAUAGCUACCAAAGAAUUUUCUGUGAUAGCUAAAGGAUCGAGCACUAUAAGUGUAGCUAAUAUAGCCACGUCUAAUGUAGCCACUACAAAUACUUUGAUUGGUUCGAUUCCAGACAAAGAAUGAGAGAACUCAAAAGAUAAAUGUUCCCAAUUUCUCAUUGAUCAUAUUAUAAGAUAAAUGUUCAUUCCUCUGCAGUAGGAUUCAAGUUGUUAUUAUUAGGAUUGGAAAAAAUGCAUGCAUGUAUAUCCACUCUUAUCUUAUCUAGAUCGCAUUUUUGCUUCUCUUUAGCGGAGAAUAUAUAGCUGGUAAGCUAGCCCAGAGAUCAUUGAUUGAGAACACAUACUCCCUACCCAGAUUUAUACUCGAGGACUGAGGAUAUUGCUUGCCAGCAAUUUGGUACACUCAUUUAGAUCGACAUUGUGGCCUAUAUAUAUAUUGGGUGAGAGUUGAGACUUGGCUAGGGGACAUCUUAGAGGUCCUGGUCCAUACUGUCUUUGCAAUCACAAAAGAAGUUGGGGCCGUUGUUCCCCCAGUCUCAUAGGCUGAGCCGCGGAGGGGGUUAUCUUCAUAUUCUUAACAUCGAGAGCCUACACAGAAUUAGGGUUCUUCAAUUUGGUGCAUGCAUAUACUUAACACAGUUCACAUCUACUGUUGAUCUUAUUGUAUGUUGUACCAAUAAAUUUCCAACCAAUUAAUCCGAUUUAUUGUCACCGAUCAAUAAUGAAGAGAUCAUCAAAGGAUUCAUGAAUCCGACCAUCGAAGAUGAUUAUGAUCGAUCGAAUGGAGCCGGAGGCAUCAGUACGUUGUUAAUUAACAAAACUGAACACAAUAUCGAUCGAAUUUGUUUACAGAAACACUUACAAAGAGAAUCUGUAGGACCAAUUACAUAUUAAUCAUUAUCGAAGGUUUAUCAUUAAGAUAGAGGAAAUAUCUGAUGAUGCGACUAACGUUCACCAUUCGACAAUCCCAGAUCGGCAGAAGUUUAUAUACAUGCAUUAGCUAGAUCGGAAAGACAUGGACGAAAUUAACAAAAUAGUUGUACUGAAAAGGGCAAGUGGAGAGAUGGGACUGAUGGGAAAACGAAGACCAUGGAAGGUAACUUUAGGAAUGCAUGGUGCACAACGAAAGAAAGCUACUGAACAUGUUGAAGAUAAAUCUAACAUGAUUGUACAGGAUUAGCUAAGAGACUAAAUAUGCAGACGCAGCAAUCCUUUGGCAAAAUGUGAGUGAGUGGCGACAAGCAUAUAGGCAUGUUUAUCGUUUCAGACAUUUGAUGCAGCACCUUUGGAUCGUAAGUAGUGGACCUUAGAUAUGGGGCAGUAUAUGGAUUCAAGUUCGAUCAUCCGGAAAUUAAAUUGUCUGUGAUUUUGAUCCUUGUUGGCCUAAUUAACUAGGGCUUGUUUUGGCAAAUAAUGAUUGAUAUAUAGCUAGGGAAUGAUUAAUAGCUGCAUCAAGGUGAUGAACCUACGUCCAACAAGAUAAGAAAGAACAAGCUAGAGGAGUUCAUUAUCCUUUUGAUUCAUUGGGGUAAUGAUUUAUAGCCAUUGCCUUAUACUUUUGCGACCAUUGGUUUUAAUAGGGUAAACACCCUCGGGCAAGUUCUGUCAUGGUGCCUAUCAGAUAAUGCUCCUUUUUUCUUCCUUCUGGCUAAUACAUGCAUAUUAUUGAACUGAGUCUUGUUACAUGGAUAAUUAAACAAGCGUUCAUUACUAACGAAGAACUAAUAUCGCCUUUUCCUAAUUCAUUUCGGCUUAAACCAACGGCAAACCGCAAACCAUUGCCCUAUUUCUGCUACACAUCAAGAUCAUCUUAGGAAUGUUGAAAAUCUUCUUCGGUAAUGAAUAAAUCGCAGUUGGUCGUAAAUGAUGGAUACUGACAUCAUGCUCAUGAACAGUCUAAGCCUUCAACAUACGAGUGUUCACAACCAAACGCACGUACGUACUGCUGGGUACCCCCAAACAGGCAAACAUCAAGGAAUGGGGGAUUGCCGUUGUGCGGUGUUUUUAUGGGCCAAGUCAUAGACUAAAACCGAAGGAGUUCAAAAGGAGAAAAAGAAAAAUAUAUGAAAGCUGCUCAUGUCUAGCUCUUUACGUAUCAAAAGGCUACUCCACAAUCCUACUUUUCUCAUUUGUGGGACUUUGACAAUAGAUUACACGCCACAAUGCAUUUUCCUUGUGUUUUUGCUUAUUUGCUUUAGUUUCUUUGGAUUAAUUGUAGACUUCAACGUAAUUAGAGUAGUCUCCGGACUUCUCUAAGCUUGACCUAGUAUGGUCGUUUUGAUUAAUAUCAAUGGAGUAAUUCCGUUAAACGUCAUACCAAAAAAAAAAAAAA